CGCCGUGCUACAUCCUUGCUUCUUCCACAAAACCAAGGUCAGCUUGAGUCUCCCAAACUAUAUUCUGGUACCACAGAUUUCAGAUUCAGCAAGCCAUAUAGCCAACCAGAACAAACUGUAAUAGAUUCAUCUGCAUAUCCUGCUGGGCCUCCUUCGCUGAGUGGCUGGGUGUUCAACAGAGAAAGUAUGCAUGCUGAUAGUGAUAAAGGGCCAAAGGCACUUCAUAGACAUGACUUAGAUCCGAUUGCAGAAAUGCCUUCUGCAUCGCUUGGUGGCCUAUCUGUGAAUGAGAAAGAAUUUUCUCCAACUACUUAUAACCCUUCUCCUCUGUAUGUGGCUCCAUUGCCUUCAGCACCACAAUUACCUGCUGAUGCAAAUUGGUUGAAGGGCCAUUCAUCAAAUUUUCAGGAGUCUAAAACUGGAGCUAAAAUCAGAGAAGCCGAAGGAAUAUUAGGUCCAACACCGACCACUAGGUACCCAAACCUGUCUCCUACUCAUGGACCAUUUAGCCCACGGCUUGCAAAUUUUAUUGAUGGCUAUCCACCACUUCUUGGAAUGAGCUCAUCCGAAUGGCUCUAUCAGUACAGGAACAGUCAUAUUGUUGAACAAGCUAAUGAUCGCAUAUGGCCAGUUCAAGUUAAUGCACCAGGAGACUUUGGAAACUUCUACAGUCAUGAUGCUUCCAGGUUUGAUUUUUUCGACAGGUGGGGCAAUCCUCCAGUUCAAGUAAAUGCACCAGGAGACUUUGGAAACUUCUACAGUCAUGAUGCUUCCAGGUUUGAUUUCUUCGACAGGUGGGGCAAUCCUCUGCCUUCCAGUCCAAUGGUUUAUUUGGAUAACCCGCAUUUGAACACAAAUUUGCCUCUCUACGGAGUAGAGGAACAAAGAAGGGAGAAGCUGUUUCAUGGUUACCAAAGACCGAUCUCCUAUGGAUGUGUUACCGCGACAGACUUGGGAGCAGAGAAGCCACCACUUCUACAGUAUCUACAAGAAAGAGAAUGGCAACUACAACGAGAGAAUAAACUGCGAGGUCCUCCCUACAUGGGGAACUAAGUUAAGGUACAUGAAGACUUUAAGACUGACUUCAAUUCUAAGUCUAAAUGUUUGUUUGUACUUGGGUAAAUGAAGGUCCUGCAGGUUUUCAAGUGACAUUCUGGUUGAACUUAUAUUUGAAGAAGUGUGUAUUUCUUGUUUUUGUCCAAAAGCUACAAUGUUCUUGUGCCGAUCAGAUGGUUAUCAAAUAGAUGAAAAAAAUAUGUAAUAUUUCUUUCAGAACUUAGUGAUGUAGAUUGAGGGAUAGUAGUAAAGGUUUAACGAUGUUCAUGCAGAUUGUGACUUGCCUGAAUUUGUAAAUAUUUUUUUUUUUUAUGUUCAAAUUUAACCGUUUGUGAGUGUCAAAACAUUUACCAUAUAAAGACUAAUAGGCUGGAAUAUUUUGUUGUAUUUAUGGUGGUAACUUGGAUUUUUCUAAAGUCGUGUGAACAGUUUCAGAUUGAAGUUAUUUGUGGUUCAUCAAAUAAUUUAAUCGGAUAAAGUCAGAAAUUCUGCAAGAAGAGAGAAUGUGUAUCGAUUGAAGUUAUUUGUGGUUUAUCAAAUAAUUCAAUCGGAUAAAGUCAGAAAUUCUGCAAGAAAAGAGAAUGUAUAUCGUUGUGUAUUUCAAAUGAACCAUCACUUUGAAAUGAUCAAUGCAACAUCUAUAUAUAUGAUGUCAAUAGAUGUGUAUUUUGAUAAUAGACACAUCUUAAUCCAAAUAGAUUUGUCUAAUGGCAAUAGACACAUCCAGUAGAUGUGUCUAAUGUAAAUGGACAAAUCUAAUGCCAAUAGACAUUUCUUUUCCAAUAGAUGUGACUAAUGCCAUUGUUAAUGCUACAAAAUAUAUUUACUCAGGUUAGAAGUAUGUUUUGACAAUAUUUGUAUAAAUACUACCAAUAUUUGUCAUAGACCUGCUGUCUAAUUCGAGAGGAGAAACAUACGGUACAAAUCAGGGGAACUAUAAGGUAAGCCGACUAAUUUUCUUAUAUUCACUAGAAUAAUUGAUCAAACACUAUACAUUUGAUAUAUGAUCACAUUGGUCAUCCUCUAUACUCGGAAUAAACGUGCCUGCAGUGCUGGCAAUUUUUAUUAUAUUUCGGUUAAAAUCUUCGGUCUUCCGAAUGUUGGGGUUCAAGUAGUACAAAAAAACUUAGAAUUGUGAGUAUACAUAUAUCUCUAGCAUAGCCUUUAGCUACUCACAUGUAAAUGCUAGUCAAUUAUGGUUUUCAUGCAUGUAAGGCCAAAAAAAUAUCAUAGCAAAUAAUGAUAAUAAUUGGAUUAUUAUAGCUUUAUAGCGUCCCUAAAGUUUAUUGUUAUGUAAUUCUUCAGUUUCAAGAAAGUAAAACGUUUUGCUUUGCAUGAUUAGUGUUCACGUUUUGGACACUAUAUGCUCACUACUAUCAGUUUCCCUUAGCAUCACACUUUUCAUUAUUUUUUUUCGUGGUCCGUACAUAAAUCUGUCUCCUUUCCAAGUAUAAAUACAGUGUGGCACAUUGUUUCGUCUCACAUUGUUUUUAUUUAUUUGAUAAACUGGUGUCCGUGCCAGUUUGCGCGCACCUGCUAUUUGGUGAAAUGGAUUUUGGGGAGGAAGAUACUCAAAGAAUGUAAGCUAUUCUCUAUCUGUAGUGAUUCUUUUCCACAUAAGGUGUUGGGGUCAUGUUGCUGAUUUUUCGAAAUUAUUUCAUUUUAGAGUUGAUAAUUUUUGAAUUUUCAGGCUGAUGCUAUACAUUCACGAUCAUAUGAGAAAAAAUAACAUGCAUGAGGCUGCUAAGGUAUUUGCAGAAGAGGCAAAUCUUGAGCUAAACCCAGGUCAGUAUUUUAGUUUUUUCAUUAAUUUGUAGUCAGCCAUACAUUUAACAGUUCAUGUAUUUUCUUCAUGCAGUACUGAAAUUUGAUAAAUUAUGAUUUUGUGAAAUAUUUAUUUGAUUUUCUUUUAAGUGAUCGAUGCUCCUCAAGGCUUUCUAGCUGAAUGGUGGGAAGUGUUUUGGAACAAGUACUUCUCCAUCUAUUCCAACAUCCCAGGAUGCGAGGUAAAAUCCUCUACUUAUUCAAAUAAAUAUUUGAGUCACGUGUAUUAAUCUUAGGUUGUGUUCACUUGGAUUGAAUGGAAUGGGGAGAAUGGAAUGAAUUUUGUAAUCUAAAAUAGGGUUGAUUUGAGAAAAUGCCUAUAUAUUUCAUUCCUUCGAUCAUUCCAUUCGUAUGAUUUUAACUAGAAUUCUAACCCACAUGUUUUGAAAGGAAUGUUCAUUCCAUUUCAACAUCAUCUUUCCUUACAAUCUUUAUCACAAAAAAUCUAAACUCAUUCAUAUUUAGUCACUACUAUCUUAUUCUUUCUUCUUUCUCCAUAAAAGUUCUAUAUAAUAUUUGAUUUCAUUAUCCCCUUAUUCCAUUCCAUCCAAGUGAACAGAGCCUUAUGUUGUGUUUGGUUGGGGAGAAUGGAAUGAAAUGGAAUGAAAUGAGUAAAAAUACUUGAAACUAAUAGAGAUAGGAAGAAAGUUUUGAAAAAAAUUGAGGGAGUGCAAAAUUACUAUGAUGAGAUUUGAGAAGAAUUUGAUGAUAGGAGAGAAUGGAGCAUUCCAUCUCAAAUUGAAGGUGUGAUAUUUAGCAUAUGAUGCAAGGAAUGGAAUGGAGGAAAGAUUGAAAUUUCUAAAAAUUAUCCAUAAGAUAGUUCAUUUUUCAUUCCAUUCCUUCCGGAAUCAUUCACCCCAACCAAACACAACAUUAGGUUGUGUUCACUUCAUGGAAUGGAAUGAGUGGAGAAUGGAAUGAAAUUUAUAUUACAAAUUGUGAGUGAUUAGUGAAAUUGUUUAUAAUUUUCAUUCCUUCACUCAUUCCAUUCUAACUAUUUUAACUAAAAAUCUAACCCACAUGUUUCGAAAGGAAUGUUGAUUUCAUUUGUUCAUCAUCUUUUCCUAUCAUCUUCUUCAUGAUAAAUUUUAACUCACUCAUAUUUAAUCAUUAUUGCCUCAUACGUUCUCCAAUCUCCAUAAAACUUGUUCAUAUAGUUUCUUCCAUUCUCCCCUCAUUCCAUUCUCCCCUCAUUCCAUUCCAUGAAGUGAACACAACCUUAGUUUUCUGAUUAAUGUAUCUACUGUAUUAACUCAAGAAAAAUCUUAGGAAAUUUCGAGGGAUGCCUCGACAAUGGAUACGUCCUUUGUACUGCCAACUCCUGGAUUCUCUGAAGGAAUGACUGCAGGGACCAUGCUACAAAACAUCUCCCCCAGGUUUACAUCUGUCAGCACCAUGAGCCCGCAACUAGUUGGCAACACUUCUCAUUGCAAGGGAAAGGAUUCCGUAAUGGAACCUAGUCCUUCUGUAUUUGUGCCAACUCCUGGAAUAGACAGACCAUGGUUCGAAAACUCAAUGCCUAAUGUAUCCGGUACCAGGUAUAUAAUCAACUUAUAAAUAAAUAAUCUGAAAUAUGAAUUUUUCUCUUUUUUUCUUAAUUAUUCUUUGAAUGGCUUUUGUAAUAAUCCUGCUUAUUGAGUUAUUGUGCCACAGCCACCAGCAGCAUCAAGCUUCUGCGCAGUCCUCGUUGCUGGUUUCAGGGGUAUGAAUACAGUCUUACAAAAUGUAAAAAUUAAUUCUACACAUGGGUGAAGUCUAAAUUAUUAUUUUAGCUGAGAGAUGAAGGCUAAAUUAAUAUUAUUAUGUUGCAGGUUGCUAGCAACCAAAAUUCUCAGGGAAGAUAUAGCAUCCAGAUGGAGCCAACUCUGCAAGUUCCAGGUCUAAAUUCUCCGUCAACAGGGUCAAGAAAUCCCAGUGCUGGUGCAUUUGAUUUUUUCAAAUACUAUUUUCGCGAUUAAGUUGGAUAAACGUUACCUAGCUAGUAGCUAGUAAUAAUUACCUUGAUAUGUUAAUCUUCAGGAUGAUAAUUUUUUUAUUUUUUGAGUUUGUGAUUCAAUUUUUUGGAUUUAAUUUUUAGACAACUAGUUGAGAAGCCGCGCGUUGCGGCGGCCUAUAAAAAUUUCAUUAAUGAUUCAAUAUUAAUAUUUGUAGAGUACAAUAAUUUUGUGGUUGUCUAUAAAAAGUAUAUUAAUGAUUUAAUAUUUGUAGGAUAAAAUAAAUUUUAUAAUAUAAAAUCUUGAUGUAAUACCAAUACUAAUAUAUAAAAUUGGACUAUAAUUCAUGGUGAAAAAAUGAAAAUAAAUUUCUACACGUAAUUAACAAUUUAAAACACGACGAAUCUUAAUUCGUGAUCAUGUUUUUACAUUGUCAUCUUCAUCCAAGUUUUUUGGAUUGAUUGUGCACAAAAACAUCUAACUUAAAUCUGUGAGAUAGCGGUUUAUAAGUACCCUUGCGUGUAACGACUUUUAUUUUUUCAUACUGUAUAAACAGCCUUCACUUAAAAGUUAUUUGAACGGAGCAAACACAUAAUGCAUGAAUAAUAUUUUCAUGUAUACAAAGUAAAUCAUAUAAAAAUUAACAACAACAAACAUGUCCGAUUAACAAAACAAAUAUUAUAAAAGAAUAACCAACAAACAUACAUCACUAAUAGUUAAUUUAUUAAUAUCAUCCAUCAAUAUCAGGUCAAGACUAUAUUCUUCUCCCGUGUUUGGAUUUGUCGACUCUCACAUAGCGGUCUAUACCUUUGCUUGCAACAACUUUUAUUUUUUUUAAUACCGUAUAAACAACCUUCAUUUAUGGUUGCAGAAGCACGGCACCACCGAGAACUAUCACCAGAGAGAGGUAGGAUUGUGGUAUUGAGAGAGAGUAGUGUUUAGAUGAUCCAAAACCCUACAACUUAUAGGGGUAUUUAUAGGUGCUGAGAGACUUGUGUGCUACUUUUUCCCAUAAUUAAAUAAUCUGAAACAAAAUCAAAUUAAAACUUUCAAGCUGCUAUAUUUCAUAAAUAAUCUGAAACAAAAUCAGCUUCUGAAACUUGCUUCUAAUAUAUCCGAGACUAAAAAAGGUAGUUCUAAUUUUUGAUAUUUUUCAUCCAAUAUAAUUACAUCCGUCAAACAUGUAUUAUAUAACUAUAUAAUAAUAAUUAAUAUAAAUAUAUAAUAUAUAUUUUUCCAUCUAUUUGUUUCAGACUGAAUUUAUUUACGUAAAAACGGACCAGAUGGAAAUUUAAUCCGGUGAGACCGAAAAUGUUGGGAGCCGUGUUUGGAUUUGUCGACUCCCACAUAGCGGUCCAUACCUUUGCUUGCAACAACCUUUAUUUUUUUAAUACCAUAAACAGCCUUCACUUAUGGUUGCAGAAGAACGACACCACCGAGAACUAUCACCAGAGAGAGGUAGGGUUGUGGCAUUGAGAGAGAGUACUUGUGUUUAGAUGAUCCAAAACUCUACAACUUAUAGCGGUAUUUAUAGGUGCUGAGAGACUUGUGUGCUACUUUUUCUCAUAAUCAAAUAAUCUGAAUCAAAUCAAAUUAAAACUUUCAAGCUGCUAUAUUUCAUAAAUAAUCUGAAACAAAAUCAGCUUCUGAAACUUGAUUCUAAUAUAUCCGAAACUAAAAAGGGUAGUUCUAAUUUUUGAUAUUUUUCAUCCAAAAAUUCCAGAAAAUUAGAAAAAUAGAACGGAGCGAUGUGAGAGGCGCCACCUACACGCCCCUCGCUUCUCCUUUAUAUAAGUAUAUUGAUGAUUGAUAGGCUUUGGCUAAACUUUUUUGCGCGCUUUAUAAAUUAAAAAUCAAUUUAUUCGUACAUAAAGAAGUUAUACGUGAUCAGAAUUCAAGAAUCUGAAAAUAAUCUUCUUUUAGUGAUUUUUCUUUUUCCAAAUUUUAAUUUAUAAAAUUAUAUUGAAACACUUUAAAAGAUAACUUAAAUUUUAUUAUUAUUUCAAUAAUUUUUAUACCUAAUAAAUCUUACCUAUCGAAAAAAUUUAUCAAAGCAUAUAUAGAACUAGUUGAGAAGCCGCGCGUUUCGGCGGCAUAUAAAAAUUAUAUUGAUGAUUUAAUAUUAUUAUUUGUAGAAUAAAAUAAUUUUGUGGCUGUUUAUAAAAAAUACAUUAAUGUUUCAAAAUUAAUAUUUGUAGGAUAAAAUAAAUUUAUAUUAUAAAAAUUUCGAUAUAAUACCAAUACUAAUAUAUAAUAUUGCAAAAUUGGACUAUAAUUCAUGGUGAAAAAUGAAAUACAUGUAUAAUUUUUUCCAGUAUACAAAGUAAAUCAUAUAAAAAUUAACAACAACAAACAUGUCCCAUGAACAAAACAAAUAUUAUAAAAGAAUAACCAACAAACAUACAUCACUAAUAGUUAAUUUAUUGAUAUCAACCAUCAAUAUCAUGUCAAGACUAUAUAUUGUUUUCCCGUGUUUGGAUUUGUCGACUCCAUUAUAGCGGUCUAUAACUAUCUUUGCUUGCAACAACCUUUAUUUUUUUUAAUACUGUAUAAACAGCAUUCACUUAUCGUUGCAGAAGAACGGCACGUCCGAGUUAGAAAUCGAGCAAGAGAACUAUCACCAGAGAGAGGUAGGGUUGUGGACUUGUGGUAUUGAGAGAGAGGAGGUUGUGUUUUGAUGAUCCAAAACCGUACAAUCUAUAGAGAUAUUUAUAGGUGCAGAGAGACUUGUGUGCUACUCUUUCCAAUAAUUAGAUAAUCUAAAACAAAAUCAGAUUAAAACUUUCAAGCUACUAUAUUCCAUAAAUAAUUUGAAACAAAAUCAGAUCCUGAAACUUGCUUCUAAUAUACCCAAAACUAAAAAAGGUAGUUCUAAUUUUUGAUAUUUUUCAUCCAAAAAUUCCAGCAAAAUAGAACGGAGCGAUGUGAGAGGCGCCACCUACACGCUCCUCGCUUCUUUAAAAAUCGAGCAAGAGAACUAUUACCAAAGAGAGAUAGGUUUGUGGUAUUGAGAGAGAGGAGGUUGUGUUUUGAUGAUGCAAAACCCUACAAUCUAUAGAGGUGUUUAUAGGUGCAGAGAGACUUAUAUGUUAUUCUUUCCCAUAAGUAAAUAAUCUGAAACAAAAUCAAAUUAAAACUUUCAAGCUACUAUAUUCCAUAAAUAAUUUGUCUUUCCCAUAAAUAAAUAAUCUAAAUAAUCCGAAACAAAAUCAGAUUAAAACUUUCAAGCUACUAUAUUCCAUAAAUAAUUUGAAACAAAAUCAGAUUCUGAAACUUGCUUCUAAUAUACCCGAAACUAAAAAAGGUAGUUCUGAUUUUUAAUAUUUUUCAUCCGAAAAUUUCAUAAAAAUAGAAAAAUAGAACAGAGCGAUGUGAGAGGCGCCACCUACACGCCCCUCGCUUCUCCUUUACAUAAGUAUAUUGAUUAUUAUUUAAUUUUUUUUUAUCACGAGAUACUUUCUCGUAUAAUGAAGAGAACUUAAAAAUUUAUAAACUUAAUAAACCAAUCAUUGACAUCAUGACAUUUUGGUCGGGCGUAAUUUACCUAGGCCCCUAUCGAGCCACUUACAUGCCUGGCUGGCUGGAUAGAUGAGUCCUGGGCUAACUCCUUUUAUGAUCGUGACGAGGAGGCACGUCUUUCCUUGUUACAAAAGAAGGGUUGUGACCCAUAAAACAUAAAACAUUUACUGAUGACAAAAUUUUCCGAACCGACGGAUAUCCGACCGAAUCGAUCUGAAUGAUUUUUACCGAACCCGAUUUUUAUGGUAUGGUUACGGGGUUGGUUUUUAUUUUUCAAAACCGAUUUAAUUUGGUUCGGGUUUGAUUUUUAGGCCAACCGAACAAAACCCCUGACCUGAAUAUCCAAAACCCGAACCAAACCGAAACCCGAACGAACCCGAUAGUAUGAAUCAUCAAUAUACUUAUAUAAAGGAGAAGCGAGGGGCGUGUAGGUGGCGCCUCUCAGAUCGUUCCGUUCUAAUUUUCUAAUUUUCUGGAAUUUUCGGAUGAAAAAUAUCAAAAAUUAGAACUAUCUUUUUUAGUUUCGGAUAUAUUAGAAACAAGUUUCUCUCCACCUAUAAAUAGCCCGCACGUUGGGCGGUCUAUAAAAAUUAUAUUAAUGAUUCAAAAUUAGUAUUUGUAAAAUAAAACAAAUAUGUGGCAGUUUAUAAAAUUUAUAUUAAUGAUUCAAAAUUAAUAUUUGUAAAAUAAAUUAGAUUAUAUAUUAUAAACAUCUCGAUACAAUACCAAUAUUAAUAUAUAAAAUUACAAAAUUGGACUAUAAUUCAUGAGUGAAAAAAUGAAAAUAAAUUUCUACAUAUAAUCAACGAUUUAAAGCAUGACGAAUCUUAAUUUUUGUUGUGUUUUUGUUUUCAAAAUAUAUGAAGGAGAAGCGAGGGGCGUGUAGGUGGCGCCUCUCACAUCGUUCCGUUCUAAUUUUCUAAUUUUUUGGAAUUUUCGGAUGAAAAAUAUCAAAAAUUAGAACUACCUUUUUUAGUUUCGGAUAUAUUAGAAACAAGUUUCAAAAUCUGAUUUUGUUUCAGAUUAUUUAUGGAAUAUAGCAGCUUGAAAGUUUUAAUAUGAUUUUAUUUCAGAUUAUUUAAUUAUGGGAAAUUGUAGCACACAGUCUCUCUGCACCUAUAAAUACCCCUUAUAGGUUGCAGGGUUUUUUUAUCAUCUAAACACAACCUACUCUCUCUCUCAAUACCACAACCCUACCUCUCUCUGGUGAUAGUUCUCUUGCUCGAUUUCUAACUCGGUGGUGCUGUUCUUCUGCAACGAUAAGUGAAGGCUGUUUAUACGGUAUUAAAAAAAAGUUGUUGCAAACAAAGGUAGUUAUAGACCGCUAUGUGGGAGUCGACAAAUCCAAACACGGGAGAAGAAUAUAGUCUUGACAUGAUAUUGAUGGAUGAUAUCAAUCAUUAAAUUAACUAUUAGUGAUGUAUGUUUGUUGGUUAUUCUCUUAUAAUAUUUGUUUUGUUCAUCGGACAUGUUUUUUGUUGUUAAUUUUUAUAUGAAUUAUUUUGUGCACAUGAAAAAUUAUUCAUGCAUUAUCUGUUUGCUCCGUUCAAGCAACUUUUAAGUGAAGACUGUUCAUACAGUAUUAAAAAAAAUAAAGGUUGUUACAAGCAAAGGUAGUUAUAGACCGCUAUCUCAUGAAUUUAAGUUAGAUAUUUGUGUGCACAAUCAAUCCAAAAACACAAAUAAAACUAAGAUUAAUUGGAGGAAGGUGACAAUGUAAGAACAUGAUUACUUUUCAAAAAAACAAAAACACAAAUAAAACUAAGAUUCAUCGUGCUUUAAAUUGUUAAUUAUGUGUAGAAAUUUAUUUUCAUUUUUUCAACAUGAAUUAUAGUCCAAUUUUUACACGUAAUUAACAAUAUUGAAUCAUUAAUAUACUUUUUAUAAACAGCCACAAAAUUAUUAUAUUCUACAAAUAUUAAUAUUAAAUUAUUAAUAUAAUUUUUAUAGGCCACCGCAACGCGCGGCUUCUCAACUAGUUUAUUUUAUAUCAUUAUAUAAUAUAGGUCAAGUUCUAUGAAGUACACAAUAAUAUUGGAGUACCAGUCACAAUUUUUUACUUUAGUCAUAAAUAAUAUCUUCGACUGUAAAUUUUUUUAAUAUAAUUUUUCAUUUAUAAGUACACUUAAACAUAACUAUCACUUAAUCAUUAAUAUAUUUCAACUUUAACAAGCAUUAAGAUUAUUGUUCUACUUGUGAAUUAUAUCGUAGAACAUAAUGUCCUCUAAUAGUUUUUUUUAAUGUUUUUUAUAUAAUUUUUGGGUUUCGGUUUAUACUAAACCGAACCGAACCGAACCGAAAACCGGUGAUUCGGGUUUGGUUUUUGAACUUCGAUUUCAGUUCGAUUCGGUUCAGGUUCGGUUUUGAAAAAUACUAUUCAGUUCGGGUUCGGUUUUUGUCAAAACUGAUUGCCAUCUCUAAAAACAUUGGAUCAGUUGGCAGGAUAGAGCUGGACAAUUUUUUAUGCUUGUGAAUGAAAAAAAAAUAGAACUGAUUAUACUCAUUUACAAUUUGUUUGCGUAGCUAAAAAUAUCGUUACUAAAUUGUUUGGACGCAAAAUGAAUAUUGUGAUUGUUAACCUCUGAAACACAAUGGGCAGAUCAAAGCUUUUACUAUAUCAUGGCCAGCUUGAAUGCUACAACACUAUUUUCUUCCAUUCCCUCUAAACCCUGUUCCUUACCAAAACUAAAAAAUCUCUACGUCCAUAUUGCCUUCUCUCCACCUUCAUCUUCUUCUUUUGGAGUGACUGCUUUCUCUGGAGUGACUUCUUUUUAGCUACGCAAACAAAUUGUAAAUGAGUAUAAUCAGUUCUAUUUUUUUUUUAUUCACAAGCAUAAAAAAUUGUCAUGAUGCUCUACCAGACUACCAGUACAGGAACAGUCAUAUUGUUGAACAAGCUAAUGAUCGCAUAUGGCCAGUUCAAGUAAAUGCACCAGAAGACUUUGGAAACUUUUAUAGUCGUGAUGCUUCCAGGUUUAAUUUUUUCGACAGGUGGGGCAAUCCUUUGCCUUCCAGUCCAAUGGUCUAUUUGGAUAACCCGCAUUUGAACACAAAUUUGCCUCUCUACGGAAUAGAGGAACAGAGAAGGGAGAAGCUGUUUCAUGGUUACCAAAGACCGAUCUCCUAUGGAUGUGUUACCGGGACAGACUUGGGAGCAGAGAAGCCACCACUUCUACAGUAUCUACAAGAAAGAGAAUGGCAACUACAAUGAGAGAAUAAACUGCGAAGUCCUCCCUACAUGGGGAACUAAGUUAAGGUACAUGAAGACUUCAAGACGUACUGACUUCAAUUCUAAGUCUAAAUGUUUAUUUGUACUUGGGUAAAUGAAGAUCCUGCAGGUUUUCAAGUGACAUUCUGGUUGAACUUAUAUUUGAAGAAGUGUGUAUUUCUUGUUUUUGUCCAAAAGCUACAAUGUUCUUGUGCCGAUCAGAUGGUUAUCAAAUAGACGAAAAAAAUAUGUAAUAUUUCUUUCAGAACUUAGUGAUGUAGAUUGAGGGAUAGUAGUAAAGGUUUAACGAUGUUCAUGCAGAUUGUGACUUGCCUGAAUUUGUAAAUAUUUUAUUUUUUUAUGAUCAAAUUUAACCGUUUGUGAGUGUCAAAACAUUUACCAUAUAAAGACUAAUAGGCUGGAAUAUUUUGUUGUAUUAUUUAUGGUAAUUUGGAUUUUUCUGAAGUCGUGUGAACACUUUCAGAUUGAAGUUAUUUGUGGUUCAUCAAAUAAUUUAAUCGGAUAAAGUCAGAAAUUCUGCAAGAAGAGAGAAUGUGUAUCGAUUGAAGUUAUUUGUGGUUUAUCAAAUAAUUCAAUCGGAUAAAGUCAGAAAUUCUGCAAGAAAAGAGAAUGUGUAUCGUUGUGUAUUUCAAAUGAACCAUCACUUUGAAAUGAUCAAUGCAACAUCUAUAUAUAUGAUGUCAAUAGAUGUGUAUUUUAAUAAUAGACACAUCUUAAUCCAAAUAGAUUUAUCUAAUGGCAAUAGACACAUCUUAUCCCAAUAGAUGUGUCUAAUGUAAAUGAAAAAAUCUAAUGUCAAUAGACACUUUUUUUCCAAUAGAUGCGACUAAUGCCAUUGUUAAUGCUACAAAAUAUAUUUACUCAGGUUAGAAGUAUGUUUUGACAAUAUUUGUAUAAAUACUACCAAUAUUUGUCAUAGACUUGCUGUCUAAUUCGAGAGGAGAAACAUAAGGUACAAAUCAGGGGGACUGUAAGGUAAGCCGACUAAUUUUCUUAUAUUCACUAGAAUAAUUGAUUAAACACUAUACAUUUGAUAUAUGAUCACAUUGGUCAUACUCUAUGCUCGAUAUAAACGUGCCUGCAGUGCUGGCCAUUUUUAUUAUAUUUCGGUUAAAAUAUUCUUCCGUCUGAGUUGUCCGAAUGUUGGGGUUCAAGUACUACAAAAAAACUUAAAAAUGUGAGCAAUAGCCUUUAGCUAUUCACAUGUAAAUGCUAGUCAAUUAUGGCUUUCAUGCAUGUCCGGCCAAAAAAAUAUCAUACCCAACAAUGAUAAUAAUUGGAUUAUUCUACCUUUAUAGCGUCACUAAAGUUUAUUCUUAUGUAAUUCUUCAGUUUCAAGAAAGUAAAACCUUUUGCUUUGCAAUUGCAUGAUUAGUGUUCACGUUUUGUACACAAUAUGCUCACUACUAUCAGUUUCCCUUAACAUCACACUUUUCAUUAUUUUUUUCCUGGUCCGUUCAUAAAUUUUUGUCUACUUUUCCAGUAUAAAUACAGUGUGGCACAUUGUUUCAUCUCACAUUGUUUUUUUUUAUUUGGUAAACUGGUGUCCGGGCCAGUUUGCGCGCACCAGCUAUUUGGUGAAAAUGGAUUUUGGGGAUAAAGAUACUCAUAGAAUGUAAGCUAUUCUCUAUCUGUAGUCAGUGUUGGGUUAAUAUUGCUGCUUUUUCUAAAUUAUUUCUUUUUACAGUUCGAUUUUCGAAUUUUCAGGCUGAUGCUAUACAUUCACGAUCAUAUGAGAAAAAAUAACAUGCACGAGGCAGCUAAGAUAUUUGCAGAAGAGGCAAAUCUUGAGCUAAACCCGGGUCAGUAUUUUAAUUUUUUUUCAUUAAUUCAACAUUUCAUGUAAUUUCUUAACUGGUUUUUUGUCUUCUUGAGGCAUGCAGUACUGAAAUUCGUUAAAUUUGAUUUUCUGAAAUAUUUAUUUGAUUUAUAAUUAAGUGAUCGAUGCUCCUGGAGGCUUUCUAGCUGAAUGGUGGGAAGUGUUUUGGAACAAGUACUUCUCCAUCUAUUCCAACAUCCCAGGAUGUGAGGUAAAAUCCUCAACUAGUUUUCUGAUUAAUGGAUCUACUGUAUUAACUCAAGAAAAAUCCUAGGAAAUUGCGAGGGAUGCCUCGACACUGGAUAUGUCCUGUGUACUGCCAACUCCUGGAUUCUCUGAAGGAGUGACUGCAGGGACCAUGCUACAAAACAUCUCUCCCAGGACCAUGAGCCAGCAACUAGUUGGCAGUACUUCUCAUUGCAAGGAAAAGGAUAUCGUAAUGGAACCUAGUCCUUCUAUAUUGGUGCCAACUGCUGGGAUAGAAAGACCAUGGUUCGAAAACUCAAUGCCUAAUGUAUUCAGUACCAGGUACUUGCUCCACCUAUAAAUAAUCUAACGGAAAAUGCUUCAUGCACAAAAUUGGGUACUUCUCAAUGGUGGAGGCACCUAUGGGCCAGGGUAGGUUUGGGCCCUCCCCGGAAAUUGGGACUGAAAUAUUUUUCUCAUUUUUUGCUUAAGCCCAGUCCAGUUUUCCAGAUAUAUGUGUUGUGGCACGCUGAAAUCUUGUAAAAACAACGUGCAGGCUCUCAAAUUUCAUUUAGAAAAGCAAGAGAGCACUGAGCAAGAGAGAAAUAUCUGUGUUUUUUAUGAUUUUUCUUUUUGCAUUUUUCUACUCAUAGUUGGGAAAAAAAAUUACUGUAUAUUUUAGCCCUCCCUCAUAUAUUCCUGGCUCCGCCACGGGUACUUCUUAUGGCGCAAUAUUAAGUUGUCUUUGCGUAUGUUCUUGAUUCUUCCUUGAUCGGUGUGAGGUUUUAUCAGAUACAGUCUGUUGGUUUCUUUAGUUGUUUUUUAUAUUUAUUUUCUUAUAUUAUUGAGAAUGACAUCAAUAAGUUGACACACUUGAAUUAGUUCAGUUCUGUGUGCGCCUAUCGAAUUUCUAAUAAACCUGCUUAUUGUGCCACAGCCACCAACAGCAACGAGCUUCUACCCAGUCCUCAUUGCUGCUUGCAGGGGUAUGAAUACAGUCUUUGUACACUAUAUAUAGCUGAGCCUACUAAAUUUAAAAAAUGCUUCACAUGGAUAAAGUCUUAAUUAUUUUUAUAGCUGAGGGAUGAAGGCUAAUUAAUAUUAUUGUGUUGCAGGUUGCUAGCAAUCAAAAUUCUGAGGCAAGACCUAGCAGCCAGAUGGAGCCAACUCUGCAAGUACCAGGUCUAAAUUCUGAUCAGUCAACAGGGUCAAGAAAUCCCAGUGCUGGUGCAUUUGAUUUUUUCAAAUACUAUUUUCGCGAUUAAGUUGGAUAUGUCAAUCUUCAGGAUGAUAAUUUUUUAUUUCUUGAGUUUGUAAUUCAAUUUAUUGGAUUUAAUUUUUAGACAACAGGCUCUGGCUAAACUCUUUUACCCGCUUCUAAUCUAUUACUCCCUCCGUCCCAAAAAGAUUGAACUGCUUUGACUUUCACGGAGAUUAAAAAAAAGGUAGUAAAAGAAAUUAAAUUAGUUGAAAAGUUGGUAAAAUGAUGGGACCCGUCAAAAUUUUAAUAAUAGAUUUGAGAUAGUGGAGGAAAGUAGUGGGUGUAAUAGUGUUUAUAGUAUUAUAGAAAAGAGAUAGUGGAAGAACUAAUGGGUGUAAUAGUAAAAAGUAGUGUUCAAAAAUAAUAAGUGUAAUAAGUUCAUUCUUUUUGGGACGUCCCAAAAGGAAUCCCAAAAGGAAUAAGUGUCAAUUAAAAUGGGACGGAGGGAGUAUAUAUCUAAUUGAACAACCUUGGGUAAAUUAAUUCAAUAUGACUAAUAUACUCUUUACUUAUUACACAUAGUUUAAUAUAUAUAAAGGUUAUUAUUGACUUUUAAUACUAACGUACUUAUUAUACAUUAAUGUCUAAGCAUUAAUAUACAUUAAUUAUAACAUGAUCAUUAUAUGGAAUUAUUUUAAUAUUAUACAUAUAAAUAUCAUCAUAUUGAGGAUAUAUGUACAUUUAGACAUCAAGAUAAUAUGACUUAAAAUAAAAAUAAAUAUUAAAUUUAAAUUAUUUUCAUAAUAUAAAUAAUCUUAAUUUUUAGAAAAAUGAAUAAAAGAUAUAAAAAUAUAUAUAUAUAUAUAUCAAAAAAAUAAUUUAAAGCAACCCGUGCUUUGCACGGGUUAAGAAGCUAGUUCAUAAGUAAAAUUCAAGUUAUUCAUACAUAAAGAAGUUAUAUAAGUGAUCAGAAUUCAAGAAUUUGAAAAUAAUCUUUUUUUAGUGAUUUGUUUUUCAAAUUUUGAUUUAUAAAAAUAUAUUGAAACACUUUAAACGAUGGCUUAUAAUAUAUUAUUGUUAUCUUGAUAAUUUUUAUAUCUAAUAUGUUGUAGACAUGGAAAAAAUUUAUCUAACCACACAAAAAACAUUUUACUAUGACUUAAUUUGUUGACAUCAUUUUGUGGUUGAUAUCAAAACAUUUUAUUAUGGUGGCCCGGCCCUAUCGAGCCAGUUACAUGCAUGGCUGGGCUGGAUAUAUCGGGUUCGGAUCGGAUCAGCCUGAAUCUAUAUCCAUAUCCAUUUAUUUUAUCGGAUUCGGAUUUGGAUCGGAUUGGGACCGGAUUUUUUAUAGGCCGAUCCAAAUCCGGAUCCGUUAGGAUCACGGAUCACGGAUCAGAUAUCCGGAUCCAUUUAACUUCUUAUGAUUUUCUUUGACUGGGGUUGAUAUAAUAUGCAGAGAGAUAUCAUUUUGUAAUGAAAAUAUCAAGUUGUAAUCUCUGACAAUAGCUUAACAAAUUAACAAUAGACCUAGUUUAAAUCCAUGUACAAGCAAUUUUUAAUUUUCUGUCACCACUAAAGAAAACAUGUAAAAAAUAUGCAUGUGCUCAACAAUCUUUCAAAUAAUAUAUUUGUACAGUUGAUAUGGACUGGGCCUAUGAAUUUGUACAGUUGAUUUUAUUAAAUAACCUGUCUUUAGGUUGUAAAAAUUUAUUAGGAAUAGGGAUAAAAUAUAUUAUUAUGUAAUAUAUAAUAUAUAUCUAUAUUAUAUAAAUAUAUUAACCGGAUCGGGUUAUAAACGGAUCGGAUCACACUAAAUCCAUAUCCAAUCCAUUUAUAAUCGGAUCAAAUUUCGGAUCGGAUAUUUUUUUGUUAAAUCCAUAUCCGCUAAAAUGACCUCGGAUCGGAUCGGGUCGGAUCGAAUUUUCGCUCCAUUGACAGGCCUAGCUGGAUAGAUGAGUUCUGGGCUAACUCCUUCUAUGAUCGUGAUGAGGAGGCACGUCUUUCCUUGUUAUAAAAGAAGGGGUCUAAUAUUGAACCAGGUGGCAGGAUAGAACAGGACAGGAGACUUCAUAUUUAUUUUUAUUUUUUUAAGGUCUACAUAUUUGUAGAUGAAUUAUACCGAAAUACAAUAAAUCGCAUCUGAGAUUUCUUUCUUUCAAGAAAAUUUAUCAUCUAACCGAAAGUCAUGCAAGUAUAAUUCCGGAUGUUUAGACAAUAAAGGUUAAAUGAAUAAUAAAAGAAAGCCCAUAAGUCCCGUAACUUCCAAAAUAUCCUGAAAAAACAAACUAAACAACACAUAAAUCAACAUACAAUAAAAUCACACAUAUAUAAAUUUAGUUAAAGUGAAUAUAGAAAAUCUAAUAAAAAGCAAAACAAAAAUAUAUAUAAAAAAUAGAUAGAAAAUAAAAUAAUAUAGAAAUAUUAAUUAAUUUCUAACCAAAGGAAAAUCUUUUGGUUAGACACAUAAAAAUUAAAAUUUAAGCGAGGAAUAGAAACAAAAGAUAAAAUAUAAUUAAAUAUAUUAAAUAUAAUGAUCAUCAAAAUAGUCAAUAAGUCAUAAAAGUGGCAUCUAUAACUGGAACAAAAGGCCACUAAAAGCACAAUAAAGUCAUCAUUAAUGACUCCAUAAAUGGUUUUUUAAAUUUUCAAUCUUUGAAACUUAACAAAAGUAAUCAAUUUCCAAAUUAAGAAGGUAUUUGAUUAAAACUUAAGAAAAGUUGACCAAUUUUCCUAAAUAUACAAACAACACAUUUCAUAGACAUGACUUAGAGUCUUAGAUCAUAUCCUGCUGGGCCUCCUUCGCUGAGUGGUUGGGUGUUCAACAGAGAAAGUAUGCAUGCUGAUAGUGAUAAAGGACCAAAGGCAUUUCAUAGAAAUGACUUAGAUCCGAUUGCAGAAAUGCCUACUGCAUCGCUUAGUGGCCUAUCUGUCAAUGAAAAAGUUUUUUCUCCAACUACCUAUAACCCUUCUCCUCUGUAUGUGGCUCCAGUGCCUUCAGCACCACAACUACCCGCUGAUGCAAAUUGGUUGAAGGGCCAUUCAUCAAAUUUUCCGGAGUCUAAAACUUGAGCUAAAAUCAGAGAAGCCGAAGGAAUAUUAGGUCCAACACCAACCUCUAGGUACCCAACCCUGUCUCCUACUCAUGGACCAUUUAGCCCACGGCUUGCAAAUUUUAUUGAUGGCUAUCCACCACUUCUUGGUAUGAGCUCAUCCGAAUGGCUCUACCAAUACAGGAACAGUCAUAUUGUUGAACAAGCUAAUGAUCGCAUAUGGCCAGUUCAAUUAAAUGCACCAGGAGACUUUGGAAACUUCUAUAGUCAUGAUGCUUCCAGGUUUGAGUUUUUCGACAGGUGGGGCAAUCCUUUGCCUUCCAGUCCGAUGGUCUAUUUGGAUAACCCGCAUUUGAACACAAAUUUGCCUCUCUACGGAGUAGAGGAACAAAGAAGGGAGAAGUUGUUUCAUGGUUACCAAAGACCGAUCUCCUAUGGAUGUGUUACCGGGACAAACUUGGGAGCAGAGAAGCCACCACUUCUACAGUAUCUACAAGAAAGAGAAUGGCAACUACAACGAGAGAAUAAACUGCGAGGUCCUCCCUACAUGGGGAACUAAGUUAAGGUACAUGAAGACUUUAAGACUGACUUCAAUUCUAAGUCUAAAUGUUUGUUUGUACCUGGGUAAAUGAAGGUCCUGCAGGUUUUCAAGUGACAUUCUGGUUGAACUUAUAUUUGAAGAAGUGUGUAUUUCUUGUUUUUGUCCAAAAGCUACAAUGUUCUUGUGCCGAUCAGAUGGUUAUCAAAUAGGCAGAAAAAAAUAUGUAAUAUUUCUUUCAGAACUUAGUGAUGUAGAUUGAGGGAUAGUAGCAAAGGUUUAACGAUGUUCAUGCAGAUUGUGACUUGCCUAAAUUUGUAAAUAUUUUAUUUUUUUUAUGAUCAAAUUAAACCGUUUGUGAGUGUCAAAACAUUUACCAUAUAAAGACUAAUAGGCUGGAAUAUUUUGUUGUAUUUAUGGUGGUAACUUCGAUUUUUCUGAAGUCGUGUGAACACUUUCAGAUUGAAGUUAUUUGUGGUUCAUCAAAUAAUUCAAUCGGAUAAAGUCAGAAAUUCUGCGAGAAGAGCGAAUGUGUAUCGAUUGAAGUUAUUUGUGGUUUAUCAAAUAAUUCAAUCGAAUAAAGUCAAAAAUUCUGCAAGAACAAAGAAUGUAUAUCGUUGUGUAUUUCAAAUGAACCAUCACUUUGAAAUGAUUAAUGCAACAUCUAUAUAUAGAUGUCAACAGAUGUGUCUGUUGAUAAUAGACGCAUCUUAAUCCAAAUAGAUUUGUCUAAUGGUAAUAGACACAUCUUAAUCCAAAUAAAUUUGUCUAAUGUAAAUGGACAAAUCUAAUGCUAAUAGACACUUUUUUUCCAAUAGAUGUGUCUAAAUACUUUCUUGUUAAUGCUACAAAAUAUAUUUACUCAGGUUAGAAGUAUGUUUUGACAAUAUUUGUAUAAAUACUACCAAUAUUUGUCAUAGACCUGCUGUCUAAUUCGAGAGGAGAAACAUACGGUACAAAUCAGAGGAACUGUAAGGUAAGCCGACUAAUUUUCGUAUAUUCACUAGAAUAAUUGAUCAAACACUAUACAUUUGAUAUAUGAUCACAUUGGUCAUUCUCUAUUCUCGAAAUAAAUGUGCCUGCAGUGCUGACAAUUUUUAUUAUAUUUCGGAUAAAAUCUUCAGUCUGAGUUGUCCGAAUGUUGGGGUUCAAGUAAUACAAAAAACUUAAAAAUGUGAGUAUACAUAUAUCUCUAGCAUAGCCUUUAGCUACUCACAUGUAAAUGCUAGUCAAUUAUGGCUUUCAUGCAUGUAUGGCCAAAAAAAUAUUAUAGCUAACAAUGAUAAUAAUUGGAUUAUUCUAGCUUUAUAGCGUCACUAAAGUUUAUUCUUAUGUAAUUCUUCAGUUUCAAGAAAGUAAAACGUUUUGCUUUGCCUGAUUAGUGUUCACGUUUUGUACACUAUAUCUUCACUCCUAUCAGUUUCCCUUAACAUUAGGGGUGGCAAUUUCGGGUAAUGGGCCGGGUUCGUGUCGGGUUGGAGGUACCUGGUUUUUUUUAAUCCCGACCCGAACCCGACCCGAACCCGAAACGGGUUGAAAAAUUGUGACCCGAACCCGAACUGGUAGGUACUUGAAUUACCCGAAACUUACCUGUUUAACCCGAAAUUCAGAAUCAAUCAGUGAGACAUGAACAGAAACAAGAGAGCAGAUACAAAGCUCAGAACCAAGAGUAAAAAUACAAAUCACUCCGCUCAACAUUAUGCUUAUGUAAUGAGUGCAAGCUGACAUUAAAAUUCUGAAAUAUCAGCACAUCUCAAACUUCUACAACAUCGUCAUCAGUGUUUGUGUUUGGUUCCGCGGGAGGGUCGAUCUUGGGCAGGUGGUCAGCAACAUUCGAGAGGUAAGCUUUAGAGAGAGAGAGAGGUGUAUUUAUACCUUUGAAGAUUUGUCGUGCUUGGGUUUGAUUCGAUUUGUUGUGCUUGGAUUUGAUGUGAAAGAGGCGAAAUAAUGCAGUCGUCGCGUGGAAAAAAAACAAAAAUGAAAGAGGGAAGAGGCGGAGGCAGUGAUUAUAGACUUACAAUAUUAGUUUUAGAGGGGUGUAUUCGAUUGGGAUUUUAAUAGAUUGUUUUUAGUCUGUGGAUUUUAAUGGAUUGUGUCUGAUUUUGAUUUUGUGCGGAUUCUUGGUAAAAUGUCGCAGAGUUGAUAGGAUUUAAGCACAAUGCUUCAAAAUCUCAUUGAUUUUGAUGGGAUUUCAAAAAAUUUAAAAUACACUGAAGAAUGUCACAAAAUCCAUCAUUUUAUGAAAUGCAAAAAAAUCCAUCAGCAUUUGAAUACCAUCAGAUUUUAAUGGAUUUUAAACAAUCUCAAUUGAAUACCAUCGGAUUUUAAAGCAUAAUUUAAAAUCCCAAUUGAAUACCACCAGAUUGUGUAGCAUAAUUUGAAAUCCCAAUUGAAUACCUCAAGAUUUUAAUGGAUUUCAAACAAUCCCAAUCGAAUACCCUCGGAUUUUAUGAAUUCAAAAAAAUGCUUUAAAAUCCCAAUCCAAUACACCCCUUAGGGUUUGAUUUUUAAAUCCAUGGACUGGGCCUUAGUGGUGGCGUGCGGGUUGAAUUGGAAACCUGGAACUCUCGAUGCUUCGAGUCCGGAAGAUCCAAUGUAUAUGUUAUUUAUAAUAUAUAUGAUAUAUAUAAAAAUAAACAGGUCGGGUUCGGGUAUUUCGGGUCAACCCAAAAAUGACCCGAUUUUUUCGGGUAAAUUUUUACCCAACCCGAACCCGACGCGAAAGUCAAAAACCCCGACCCUAAUUCGAAUUUUUUCGAGUCGGUUUCGGGUCGUGUUUCGGGUCGUGUCGGAUUUUGUCACCCCUACUUAACAUCACAGUAUCACACUUUUUCAAUAUUUUUUUCAUGGUCCGUAUAUAAACUUUUGUCUCCUUUCCAAGUAUAAAUACAGCGUGGCACAUUGUUUCAUCUCACAUUGUUUUUUUUUAUUUUGUAAACCGGUGUUCGGGCCGGUUUGCGCGCAGCUGCUAUUCGGUGAAAAUGGAUUUUGGGGAGGAAGAUACUCAAAGAAUGUAAGCUAUUCUCUAUCUGUAGUGAUUCUUUUCCACAUAAGGUGUUGGGCUAGUGUUGCUGCUUUUUCUACAUUACUUCCUCUUAGAGUUGAUGAUUUUUGAAUUUUCAGGCUGAUGCUGUACAUUCACGAUCAUAUGAGAAAAAAUAACAUGCAUGAGGCUGCUAAGAUAUUUGCCGUAGAGGCAAAUCUUGAGCUAAACCCAGGUCAGUAUUUUAUUUUUUUCCAUUAAUUUGUAGUCAGCCAUACAUUUAACAUUUCAUGUAUUUUCUUCAUGCAGUACUGAAAUUUGAUAAAUUAUGAUUUUGUGAAAUAUUUAUUUGAUUUUCUUUUAAGUGAUCGAUGCUCCUCAAGGCUUUCUAGCUGAAUGGUGGGAAGUGUUUUGGAACAAGUACUUCUCCAUCUAUUCCAACAUCCCAGGAUGCGAGGUAAAAUCCUCAACUUAUUCGAAUAUGUAUUUGAGUCACGUGUAUUAAUCUUAGGUUGUGUUCACUUGGAUUGAAUAGAAUGGGGGGAAUGGAAUGAAUUUUGUACUCUGAAAUAGGGUUGAUUAGAGAAAAUGCCUAUAUAUUUCAUUUCUUCGAUCAUUCCAUUCGUAUGAUUUUAACUAGAAAAGGAAUGUUCAUUCCAUUUCAACAUCAUCUUUCCUUACAAUCUUUAUCACUAAAUAUCUAAACUAGCUCAUUCAUAUUGUCACUACUAUCUCAUUCUUUCUUCUUUCUCCAUAAAAGUUCUAUAUAAUAUUUGAUUUCAUUAUCACCUCAUUCCAUUCCAUCCAAGUGAACACAGCCUCAGUUUUCUGAUUAAUGUGUCUACUGUAUUAACUCAAGAAAAAUCCUAGGAAUCUCGAGGGAUGCCUCGACAUUGGAUACGUCCUUUGUACUGCCAACUCCUGGAUUCUCUGAAGGAAUGACUGCAGGGACCAUGCUACAAGACAUCUCCCCCAGGUUUACAUCUAUCAGCACCAUGAGCCAGCAACUAGUUGGCAAUACUUCUCAUUGCAAGGGAAAGGAUAUCGUAAUGGAACCUAGUCAUUCUGUAUUGUGCCAACUCCUGGAAUAGACAGACCAUGGUUCGAAAACUCAAUGCCUAAUGUAUCCGGUACCAGGUAUAUAAUUAACUUACAAAUAAAUAAUCGGAAAUAUGAAUUUUUCAGUUUUUUUUCUUAACUAUUCUUUGAAUGGCUUUUGUAAUAAUCCUGCUUAUUGUGCCACAACCACCAGCAGCAUCAAGCUUCUGCGCAGUCCUCAUUGCUGGUUUCAGGGGUAUGAAUACAGUCUUACAAAAUGUAAAAAUUAAUUCUACACAUGGGUGAAGUCUAAAUUAUUAUUUUAGCUGAGGGAUGAAGGCUAAAUUAAUAUUAUUAUGUUGCAGGUUGCUAGCAAACCAAAAUUCUCAGGGAAGAUCUAGCAGCCAGAUGGAGCCAACUCUGCAAGUACCAGGUCUAAAUUCUCCGUCAACAGGGUCAAGAAAUCCCAGUGCUGGUGCAUUUGAUUUUUUCAAAUACUAUUUUCGUGAUUAAGUUGGAUAAACGUUACCUAGCUAGCAGCUAGCUACACUACACCAUAUUUGACCUGUUGCAACGGCAUGUUGCAAAAAAUGUUGCUAUAGGCCAAAAAAUAGCUACUCUAUUGUAAUAAUUUUUGAAAAUGUUACCUAAAAUUGAAAAGUGUUGCAUGCUUGGUAAUUUUUAGUGAGAGUUAAAAAAGUUGAUGCCAAUUGUAACACUUUACUUAAACUUACAGUUGUUUGCAACAUUUUUGUCAAGUGGAAUAAAAAAUUAGGCGGGCUUCUUCUUUUUUUCAGUGGCGGGUACCAAAACAGUUACCCAAAAACAAACACCCCAAAACAAACAUUUCACUUUCAAAAAACAAAUAUCUCCUCUUCUCCUUUGUAUAUCCAUUUUGUUAUCAUAGCCAAAUCCAUGUGCUGCAAUAGAGUAUUAAUAAACAAAAUUAUACUAUUUAAUUAUGAAUUUCAAAUUUACACAUUUAUUGACUUUGACACUAAUCAAUAUUCAAUUUAAAAAUAUAUAUAAGGUCGUCCAAGGAAAUAAAUAUUUAUAUAUUUUAAAUAUUGUAAAAAUAUUUAAUUAUUUUUAAAUAAGUUUAAAUUUUUUUAAAAAAAUAAUUUUAAAAUGAUCUUAUCAUCCAACUUAAUGUAAUUAAUAUGGAUAAAAUUAAUUGUAAAAACAUUCUAAUUAGCAAAUAAUUGAUUAAUUUAUUUUUAUAAAUAUUAAAAUAUUAGAUUUUAUAUUAGUAUUAAUGGUUAACUUAUUUUAAUAAAUAUUAAAAAAUUUAAAACAGCAUGUACCGUAAAAUAGUAAUUUUUUUAUAAAAUUAAAUAAAUUUUACGAGUUGCCGGCGUGCACACUUAAUAAAAAAUUAAAUAAAUUUCCCCCCUUAAUCAAUUUCACAACUCCCGCUUUGUAACAUUUUCUAAAAAUAAAACAUUAAGUUUAACAGGUUUAAAACAUAAACAUUAGACAAAAAACAUUAAAACAUAUAAGCUGCCCUUCUUUUCUCAUUCUUCUAUUUGUUCAUACAAGCUCCGAUGCGAUCAUUCUGGUUGAGUAAAAACUCAUACAAGCUCUUAUGGUCAAUUAGAAGGUCAUACAAGCUCCGAUUUGUUUCCUUUAGAGUUUCGAUUGUUCGAUUUGCUGGUACAAACUCAUAAAACCUCCGGGUAUGUCAUUGUCUGGGUCUUUCUUGCAUAGAUUUGUUUCUUUGUGUCAAGGAUGUCUGUGUCUAAGAACUCAAUAUUUCAAUUACCUUCCUUUUGUGUUAUUUUGGUUAGUUUUCUCAAGUGGGUCAAUUUUUUCGAUGGGGUCAUGUGGGUGUAAGAGGGUCAAGUGGGUUUCGACCGGACUUUAAAGCUUAAAGUUCAAGCGGGUUUUCAUUGGAGUUUGGAGUUGUUUUUUGUGAUUGUAAUUUGGAUGUUUGGGUUUUGCUUAGUAGCGAGGUAACCAAAGCAAGGUAUUAUUCUUUUCUGUUACUUCGUUGCUUAGUCAUUCUUUUUUAGUACUUGGUUGCUUAGUGUAUUGCUUGCUUGGAACUUUGCUCGUUUUUGCUUUAUUAGUGAGUAUGUGUAUGUGUUUGUCUGUUUUAAUGUAUAAAGAUGUCAUGCCUGUUUGUUAUUCUGUCAUAUGCCUGAUCCACAUGCCAAAUUGAGUUUUAUUAUAGUGACCUUUAUUUGUUUUUUUUUUACUUUUGGAAAUAGUUAGAUAGUAAAAUGGUUAAUUGGUUGUGAAAGAGCAUAUGUCAAGCUGUGUGUUGGUAUUUUCACUUUGACAGAAUUUUAAACACUAUGCUGUAGGACAAGAUUUAAUAAAAAAGAAAACAAUAAUGAGAAAUUGAGAACUAACUGAAACAAGGAAAAUUUAAGUUGAUUCUCUCAUCCAUCACACAUUGUGUUAAUAUUAAAAAACCAUUUACAUAUGUUAGCUUAUAAUAAACCUGAGAUGAAUGACAUAAAUUGUAUCAGGCUAUAAAGGAGGAGCUGUCUUCUUUAGAAUUGCUGCCAGAAGAAGAGCUUGAUGCACACAAUGCCACCAAGAUGGUGUUUUAUUUAUACAUAUCUUUUUAUAUUUAAUUUUCUAAUCUUGUUUGUAUAUGUUCAUUAUUGAUUGUUUACUCACUUUUACUCUCUGUUUACUUAGCCUAUGUGUGAUAAAAGCUAACCAUUACGUACAAACAACUUUGAAACUUACUUUAAUACUAGUAGUAGAACUUAAAGUAGUUACUUUUAAAUAUAAUGCAGGUUACUAGACUUGUAAAAGAAGAUCACUGGUGAUUGCACUAAAGGUGGCAUUCUCAAUGCUUCAUAUGGGUACAUACGGGGGCAUGAAGGGAAAAGUAUAUGUAGCUCGUACAUUCAUGAGGUAUAAAAACUAAUUUAUUAUUUCUUUUUAUCAUAUAUAUUUGCUGAUACUUAUCCCAUCAGCUUUGAUUAGAGAUACAGAACCUAACUAGAUGGGGAGGUGCACUACAAUUAUGUUGUGAUUCUCUAUAUUUGCUACCCAUCCAUAGUAGAAUAAGGGCUACGUCUACGGAAAAUGGUACACAAAUCAAUCUACCUCAUUUUUUAAUUAUUUACCUUUGAUUAUAUUGCAUAGUAGUACUUAUGUAAGACUAUCUCAUUAUUGCAGGCUACUAAAAUUAGUGUAGGAGUUGAUGUUUGCAUGGUUAAUGAAAGAGGCUUCUAUUUCAACCUUGCAGAAGUUCAGAAACCUCUUUAUGCUAAUAGGACUAAUUUAAGUAUGAAUGGGUCAUGUGCACAAGGUACAUGUAACAUAUAUAACUAAAUUGUCGACAAACAUAUGUAGUAUUUGUACUUAUAGAAUUUAAAUUUUGUUCCUGUUAUUGCCUUGCAGUCUAUUAAACUACACUUAUGCAGAUGAAAAUAUAGAAUGCAGCUUUUAGUCACUUUAGAACGAGGAGGAUGGGAAUGCAGCUGCUCAACAUAGUGAUGAAUGAAGAUUUUUAGUCACUUUUUAUUAUUACUUCUUCAUCUAUUCUUGCUUUUAGAUUGACUUUUAUAAGGAUGGUUUAUAAAUUGGUACAUUAGUCCGGUUUCUAUGUAUCUUUCAACUUGAUGACUCGGUUUGUACUUUGUAUUUUCUUUUGGUUAAUUUCAAGUCAAGAAAAUUUCAGGGUACUAUUGCAUUUAUAUAGUAUCAUUGUAAAUUAAGCCUUAAAAGUAUUGCAACAGAAUACAUAAUGUUGCCAAAAAAUUUAAAAGCAUUAUGUGUUACCAAAAAACUAAAAGUAUUGCAAUUGGUUUAAUAUUGUUGCACAAAACUGUUACAACAAAAUUUCAAAUUAUUGGUAUGCAACAGUUUUUAAGUAUAUAGUGUUACAAAGAAAUGUUACAGUAAAUUUAUUGUAACAGUAUAAAAUUGUUACCAAAGGCCUCGAAAAUGUUGCAAUAGAUUACAAUUGAAAGUCUAUUGCAAUACCUCAAUAAUGUUGCAAGAAACCAAAUAUAUGUUGCAACAGGGUUCUCUUGCAACGGCAGCAAAUGCAACACCGAAUUUUGGCAAAAAUGUUACUAAAAUGUCUAUUGUAACAGUUUUAGGCCCUAAGGCUACAUUUUUCAGCCGUUGCAACAGGUGAAAUAUGAUGUAGUGCUAGUAAUAGAUAACCUUGAUAUGUUAAUCUUCAGGAUGAUAAUUUUUUUAUUUUUUGAGUUUGUGAUUCAAUUUAUUGGAUUUAAUUUUUAGACAAUAGGCUUUGGCUAAACUUUUUUGCGCGCUUUAUAAAUUAAAAAUCAAUUUAUUCGUACAUAAAGAAGUUAUACGUGACAGAAUUAAAGAAUUUAAAAAUAAUCUUCUUUUAGUGAUUUUUCUUUUUCCAAAUUUUAAUUUAUAAAAUUAUAUUGAAACACUUUAAAAGAUAACUUAAAUUUUAUUAUUAUCUUAAUAAUUUUUAUACCUAAUAAGUGGUAUCUAUCGAAAAAAUUUAUCAAAAUACAUAUAGAUUUAUUAUUCUUUUUUUGUCACAAGAUACUUUCUCGUAUAACUAAGAGAACUUGAAAAUUUAUAAACUCAAUAAACCAAUCAUUGACAUCAUAACAUUUUGUUCGGGCAUAAUUUACCUAGGCCCCUGUCGAGCCACUCACAUGCCUGGCUGGCUGGACAGAUGAGUUCUGGGCUAACUCCUUCUAUGAUCGUGACGAGGAGGCACGUCUUUCCUUGUUAUAAAAGAAGGGUCGUGACCCAUAAAACAUUUACGGAUGAUAAAAUUUUCCGAACCGACGGAUAUCCGAUUGAAUCGAUCUGAAUGGUUCUUACCGAACCCGAUUUUUAUGGUAUGGUUACGAUUUUGGUUUUUAUUUUUCAAAACCGUUUAAUUUGGUUCGAGUUUGAUUUUUAGGCCAACCGAACAAAAUCCCCGACCCGGAUAUCUGAAACGCGAAUGAAUCCGAUAGUAUAGAUUUAUUUUAUAUCAUUAUAUAAUAUAGGUCAAGUUCUAUGAAGUACACAAUAAUAUUAGAGUACCAGUCACAAUCUUUUACUUUAAUUAUAAAUAAUAUCUUUGACUGUAAAUUUUUUUCAUAUAAUUUAUCAUUUACAAGUACACUUAAACAUAAUUAUCACUUAAUCAUUAAUAUAUUUCAACUUUAACAAGCAUUAAGAUUAUUGUUCUACUUGUGAAUUAUAUCGUAGAACAUAAUGUUCUCUAAUAGUUUUUUAAUGUUUUUUAUAUAAUUUUUGGGUUUCGGUUUAUACUGAACCGAACCGAAAACCGGUGAUUCGGGUUUGGUUUUUGAACUUCGAUUUUCAGUUCAAUUCUGUUCGGGUUCGGUUUUGAAAAAUACUAUUCGGUUCGAGUUCGGUUUUUGUCAAAACUGAUUGCCAUCUCUAAAAACAUUGGAUCGGUUGGCAGGAUUGAGCUGGACAAUUUUUUAUGCUUGUGAAUAAAGAAAAAUAGAACUGAUUAUACUCAUUUACAAUUUGUUUGCGUAGCUAAAAAUAUAGUUACUAGAUUGUUUGGACGCAAAAUGAAUUUUGUGAUUGUUAACCUCUGAAACACAAUGGGCGGAUCAAAGCUUUUACUAUAUCAUGGCCAGCUUAAAUGCUACUCCCUCCGUCUCUAAAUGCUUUUCCUGUUUGUGUUUUUCACGUUUGCCAACACACAUUUUUUUAUCGUUAAUAUCUUUCAUUUCGUAUUAGCAUUAAAUAUUAAAACUUCACCGUAUUAAAGUACUCGUGUAUACGAAUCUAACUAGAUCACUCAUGACUAUAUAUAGUUUUAUAUAUUAGAUGUAAAUUAGUAAUUUGUCUCAUGUUAUGAAGAGUACCGACAUCACAAACAGGAAAAGAAAAAAGAAACGGAGGGAGUACUACACUAUUUUCUUCCAUUCCCUCUAAACCCUGUUCCUGACCAAAACCCAAAAAUCUCUACGUCCAUAUUGCCUUCUCUCCACCUUCAUCUUCUUCUUUUGGAGUGACUGCUUUCUCUGGAGUGACUUCUUUUUAGCUACGCAAACAAAUUGUAAAUGAGUAUAAUCAGUUCUAUUUUUUUUUUAUCACAAGCAUAAAAAAUUGUCUGAUGCUCUACCAGACUACCAGUACAGGAACAGUCAUAUUGUUGAACAAGCUAAUGAUCGCAUAUGGCCAGUUCAAGUAAAUGCACCAGAAGACUUUGGAAACUUCUAUAGCCAUGAUUCUUCCAGGUUUGAUUUUUUCGACAGGUGGGGCAAUCCUUUGCCUUCCACGCUGAUGGUCUAUUUGGAUAACCCGCAUUUGAAUUUCUAAUAAACCUGCUUAUUGUGCCACAGCCACCAACAGCAACAAGCUUCUACCCAGUCCUCAUUGCUGGUUGCAGGGGUAUGAAUACAGUUUUUGUGCUCUGUUUAUAGCCGAGCCUAUAAAAAUUUAGAAAAUGCUACACAUGGAUGAAGUCUAAAUUAUUUUUUUAGCUGAGAGAUGAAGGCUAAGUUAAUAUUAUUGUGUUGCAGGUUGCUAGCAAUCAAAAUUCUCAGGGAAGAACUAGCAGCCAGAUGGAGCCAACUCUGCAAGUACCAGGUUUAAAUUCUCCGUCAACAGGGUCAAGAAAUCCCAGUACUGGUGCAUUUGAUUUUUUUAAAUACUAUUUUCGCGAUUAAGUUGGAUAAAUGUUAACUAGCCAGUAAUAGUUUACCUUAAUCUUUGGGAUGAUAAUUUUUUUAUUUUUUCAGUUUGUAAUUCAAUUUAUUGGAUUUAAUUUUUAGACUAUUGGCUUUGGCUAAACUUUUUUGCCCGCUUGUAAUUUAUAAGUAAAAAUCAACUUCUUUGUACAUAAGAGCAUUUCAAUGAGUUCCUUAAACAAACUCUUAACUCUAAAAUAUAGGAGGAUAUGAAAAAUAGAGCUCCAAUGGGCUCCUAGAACUCUUUAAAAAUUUAAGGGUUUCUUAUCUCUCCUUUUUUUAAAGAGCAUCUAGGUGCUCCUAACUUAUUUUUAUUGAAUAAAAUAAUCACUUUCUUCUAUUUUUAUGCACUUCUCUCUAAUUCUCUCUCCAACUUUUCUCUCAAAUAAUAAUAAAAUAUGAGUAAAGAGCAAGUAUUAAGAGUAUGGUUGUCACGAUAUUCAAUGUAUUAACAUACUAGGAGCCACAUAUUAUAUUACUCCCUCCGUUUCAAAAUUUAUGACGUUUUGACUUUUUACGCACAUUUCAAAGAGUUUUGACCAAGCACCUAGAAUCAUCAUUUUUUUUUAAAAAAAAUUAUACUUUAAAAUUUUGACUAUAUACUUUUAUUUAAUAAAAUAAAAUUUUAAAAAUAAUAAAUAUAAGUAUAUGGUCAAAGGAUUUUAAACUACGUGCAAAAAGUCAAAGCGUAAUACAUCUUGAAACGGAGGGUGUAUUUUUUAAGAAAGAAUUUAAGAGGAUCUAAAGAAGUUAUAUAAGUGAUCAGAAUUCAAGAAUUUGAAAAAUAAUCUUUUUUUAGUGAUUUUUUUUUGAAUUUUGAUUUAUAAAAAUAUAUUGAAACACUUUAAACGGUAGCUUAUACUCCCUCUGUCCCUCUCAUUUCUUUACGUUACUUUUUGGCAUGCUUUUCCACACUCAUUUAAAAUAUAGUUUUAUAAUAUAUUUUUUUAAAAAAAUUCUCUGAAUAAAAGUUUGGUGUUUAAACUUUUAUUUAGAAAAAAAAAAUUUUAAAAAAUAAUUAUGAAACCAUACUUUAUAAGAACCUAAAAAUGCGUGCAAACAGUGAACGUAAACAAUCACGGGGACGAAGGGAGUAAUAUUUAACUAUUAUUAUAAUAAUUCUUAUAUCUAGUAAGUUGUAGAUAUCGACAAAACUUACCUUGAACACAUAAAUUAAAAUUAUUUUCCACUUUAAGUCUAAAGUUAAUAAACCAAUCAUUGACAUCAAAACAGUUUAUUAUGGCUUAAUUUGGCUAGGCCCAAUCGAGCUAGUUACAUGCAUGGUUGGGCCGGAUAGAUGAGUUUUGGGCUAACUCUUUCUAUGAUCGUGACGAGGCACGUCUUUCCUUGUUAUUUUUAAUUCUAUACAUUUUUUUUGAUGCUCGACAAGCACAUCAAUGCUCUAAUAAAAUAUAAUUCUAUAACUUAUUUUGAAAAUUUUCUUCAUCUGAAUAAUAAUAUAACAUUCAAACUUUUAUUCAGAAAAGAAAUAUCUUAAAAAUAAGUUAUAGAACUAUACUUUACAGGAGCAUUAAAGUCUGUGCCGCGUCCCCGUCUGCCCCAUGUAUAUAACUCAGGGGGACGGAGGGAGUAUAAAAGAAGGGGCGUGACCCUUAUAAUAUUGAACCAGCUGUUGGCAGGAUAGAGCUGGACACGAGACUUCGUAUUCAAGUGCAUCUCCAACUGAUUCUCUACAGAAUUCUUAAUUUCAAAUUUAAAAACCAAUACAAAAUUAGAACUCCAAUGAGCUCCUUAUUACACAUAGUUUAAUAUAUAUAAAGGAUAUUAUUGACUUUUAAUACUAACGUACUUAUUAUACAUUAAUGUCUAAGCAUUAAUAUACAUUAAUUAUAACAUGAUCAUUAUUUGGAAUUAUUUUGAUAUUAUACGUAUAAAUAAUAUAUAUCUAAUCAUUUUUAAAAUUUUUAAUUUUCCCCACAAAUUUUGUAAAUUUUAAUGUUCUACCUGAUUUUUGACUGAUUAAUCCAGUUUUGACCAAUUAAUCAUCGAUUUAAUCGAUUUAUCAAAUCGUAUUAAAAAUUCGCCUGAUUAUCGAUUAUUCGGUUAAAUUUUAUCAAAUCGUAUUAAAAAUUCGCCUGAUUAUCGAUUAUUCGGUUAAUCAGCUGAUUUUUAGAAUAUCUAAUUAUUGUGAUUUAAUAAAAUUCUAUAUAUAUGAUUUAAUAAAAUUAUAUAUAUGAUUUUUUAACUAUACGACAAAGAUUCUGAUUCGACAAGAAUCUUAUUUGUUUUUAUCAAAUUUAGAAUAAUUUUAGGUGAACGAUAAUUUAAUUAUAUAAUAAAAUUUUAAAUAGUGUAUAGUUUUUUUAUAUUUAUAUUUUAAUAAAUAUCAUCAUAGUGAGGAUAUAUGUACAUUUAGACAUCAAGAUAAUAUGACUUAAAAUACACGUAAAUAUCAAAUUUAAAUUAUUUUCAUAAUAUAAAUAAUCUCAAUUUUUUAAAAAAAUGAAUAAAAGAUAUAACAAUAUAUCAAAAAAAUAAUUUAAAACAAGCACGGGUUAGGAAGCUAGUUCAUAAGUAAAAAUCAAGCUAUUCAUACAUAAAGAAGUUAUAUAAGUGAUCAGAAUUCAAGAAUUUGAAAAUAAUCUUUUUUUAGUUAUUUUUUUUUCGAAUUUUGAUUUAUAAAAAUAUAUUGAAACACUUUAAACGAUGGCUUAUAAUAUAUUAUUAUUAUCUUAAUAAUUUUUAUAUCUAAUAUGUUGUAGAUAUGGAAAAAAUUUAUCCAACCACACAAAAAACAUUUUACUAUGACUUAAUUUGUUGACAUCAUUUUGUGGUUGACAUCAAAACAUUUUAUUAUGGUGGCCAGCUCCUAUCGAGCCGGUUACAUGCAUGGCUGGGCUGGAUAGAUGAGUUCUGGGCUAACUCCUUCUAUGAUCGUGAUGUGGAGGCACGUCUUUCCUAUCUAAUAAAAGAAGGGGUCUAAUAUUGAACCAGUUGGCAGGAUAGAGCAGGACAAGACACUUCGUAUUUAUUUUUAUUUUUUUGUAGAUCUAUAUAUUCGUAGAUGAAUUAUACCGAAAUACGAUAAACCGCAUUUUCGAUUUCUUUUUUUUCAAGAAAGUUUAUCAUCUAACCGAAAGUCAUGCAAGUAUAAUUCCGGAUGUUUAGACAAUAAGGUUAAAUGAAUAAUAAAAGAAAGCCCAUAAGUCCGGUAGCUUUCUAAAUAUCCUGAAAAAACAAACCAAACAACACAUAAAUCAACAUACAAUAAAAUCACACAUAUAUAAAUUUAGUUAAAGUAAAAUAGAAAAUCUAAUAAAAAGCAAAACAAAAAUAUAUAUAAUAGAUAUAAAAUAAAAUAAUAUAGAAAUCUAUACUAUACUAUAAAAAACCAACAUGGUUAUAAUUUGUAUUCGUACAAAAUUUUGGUUUGGUACUCUGCUCUAAAACUAAAAGUCUACAACUAGAUAUCUAUUAAACAGUUUCAUAUACUAAAAGCACUCCUUAUGUAUAUUAAUAUCAUUUUAAAUAUAAUUUAUAAUUAGUUGAAAAAAGCUACUUUUUAAUUAUAACGUAUUCUACUCGAAAUUUAACUCUAACGUGUCCUAUUUCAUUACAAACACGAACCAUUGCGAAUUGCGUAACAUAUGAAGAUAUAUGAAAUAUGAAAAUUUUGAUUUAAAUUGAAUAAUAAACUGUCACAUAUUAAUAUCAGAAAAAUAUUUAUAGAUAGAUAAUAAACUUUCGUUAGAAGAUAUAAUCAGUUGGUUAAUAUAAUUUAACUAAAAUCUAAUUUAUUAAUACUAAAAUACUAAUAAAAAUGGUGUUAAAAAUUAAAUUAUAAUUAAUAAAUCACGAAUCAAAUACACGCCCGUGCGAUGCACGGGGUUAAAGGCUAGUAUUAAUUAAUUUCUAAUCAAAGGAAAAUCCUUUGGUUAGACACAUAAAAAUUAAAAUUUAAGCGAGGAAUAGAAACAAAAGAUAAAAUAUAAUUAAACAUAUUAAAUAUAAUGAUCAUGAUAAUGGUCAAUAAGUCAUAGAAGUGACAUCCAUAACUGGAACAAAAAGCCACUAAAUACACAAUAAAGUCAUCAUUAAUGACUUCAUAAAUAGUUUUUAAAUUUUGAAUCUUUGAAACUUAAUAAAAGUAAUCAAUUUCCAAAAAUUAAGAAAGUAUUUGAUUAAAACUUAAGAAAAGUUGACCAAUUUUCCUAAAUAUAUAAUUAAACAACACAUUUCAUAGACAUGACUUAGAUCAUAUCCUGCUAGGCCUCCUUCGCUGAGUGGUUGGGUGUUCAACAGAGAAAGUAUGCAUGCUGAUAGUGAUAAAGGGCCAAAGGCACUUCAUAGACAUGACUUAGAUCCGAUUGCAGAAAUGCCUUCUGCAUCGCUUGGUGGCCUAUCUGUGAAUGAGAAAGAAUUUUCUCCAACUACUUAUAACCCUUCUCCUCUGUAUGUGGCUCCAAUGCCUUCAGCACCACAAGUACCCGCUGAUGCAAAUUGGUUGAAGGGCCAUUCAUCAAAUUUUCCGGAGUCUAAAACUGGAGCUAAGAUCAGAGAAGCCGAAGGAAUAUCAGGUCCAACACCGACCACUAGGUACCCAAACCUGUCUCCUACUCAUGGACCAUUUAGCCCACGGCUUGCAAAUUUUAUUGAUGGCUAUCCACCACUUCUUGGAAUGAGCUCAUCCGAAUGGCUCUAUCAGUACAGGAACAGUCAUAUUGUUGAACAAGCUAAUGAUCGCAUAUGGCCAGUUCAAGUUAAUGCACCAGGAGACUUUAGACACUUCUACAGUCAUGAUGCUUCCAGGUUUGAUUUUUUCGACAGGUGGGGCAAUCCUUUGCCUUCCAGCCCCAUGGGUUAUUUGGAUAACCCGCAUUUGAACACAAAUUUGCCUCUCUGCGGAAUAGAGGAACAGAGAAGGGAGAAGCUGUUUCAUGGUUACCAAAGACCGAUCUCCUAUGGAUGUGUUACCGGGACAGACUUGGGAGCAGAGAAACCGCCACUUCUACAGUAUCUACAAGAAAGAGAAUGGCAACUACAACGAGAGAAUAAACUGCGAGGUCCUCCCUACAUGGGGAACUAAGUUAAGGUACAUGAAGACUUUAAGACUGACUUCAAUUCUAAGUCUAAAUGUUUGUUUGUACUUGGGUAAAUGAAGGUCCUGCAGGUUUUCAAGUGACAUUCUGGCUGAACUUAUAUUUGAAGAAGUGUGUAUUUCUUGUUUUUGUCCAAAAGCUACAAUGUUCUUGUGCGGAUCAGAUGGUUAUCAAAUAGAAGAAAAAAGUAUGUAAUAUUUCUUUCAGAACGUAGUGAUGUAGAUUGAGGGAUAGUAGUAAAGGUUUAACGAUGUUCAUGCAGAUUGUGACUUGCCUGAAUUUGUAUAUAUCAUUUUUUUAUGAUCAAAUUUAACCGUUUCUGAGUGUCAAAACAUUUACCAUAUAAAGACUAAUAGGGUUGAAUAUUUUGUUGUAUUUAUGGUGGUAACUUGGAUUUUUCUGAAGUCGUGUAAACACUUUCAGAUUGAAGUUAUUUGUGAUUCAUCAAAUAAUUCAAACGGAUAAAGUCAGAAAUUCUGCAAGAAGAGAAAAUGUGUAUCGAUUGAAGUUAUUUGUGGUUUAUCAAAUAAUUCAAUCGGAUAAAGUCAGAAAUUCUGCUAGAAAAGAGAAUGUGUAUCGUUGUGUUUUUCAAAUUAACCAUCACUUUGAAAUGAUCAAUGCAACAUCUAUAUAUAUAUGAUGUCAAUAGCUGUGUAUUUUGAUAAUAGAUACAUCUUAAUUAAAAUAGAUUUGUCUAAUGACAAUAGACACUUCUUAUCCCAAUAGAUGUGUCUAAUGUAAAUGGACAAAUCUAAUGCCUAUAGACACUUUUUUUUUCGUGGUCCGUACAUAAAUCUUUGUCUCCUUUCCAAGUAUAAAUACAGUGUGGCACAUUGUUUCAUCUCACAUUGUUUUUUUUUUAUUUGGCAAACCGGUAUUCGGACCAGUUUGCGCGCACCUGCUAUUUGGUGGAAAUGGAUUUUGGGGAUAAAGAUACUCAUAGAAUGUAAGCUAUUCUCUAUCUGUAGUGAGUGUUGGGCUAAUAUUGCUGCUUUUUCUAAAUUAUUUCUUUUUACAGUUCGAUUUUUGAAUUUUCAGGCUGAUGCUAUACAUUCACGAUCAUAUGAGAAAAAAUAACAUGCACGAGGCUGCUAAGAUAUUUGCAGAAGAGGCAAAUCUUGAGCUAAACCCGGGUCAGUAUUUUAAUUAUUUUUUUUCAUUAAUUCAACAUUUCAUGUAAUUUCUUAACUGUUUUUUAGUCUUCUUGAGGCAUGCAGUACUGAAAUUCAUUAAAUUUGAUUUUCUGAAAUAAUUAUUUGAUUUAUAAUUUAGUGAUCGAUGCUCCUCAAGGCUUUCUAGCUGAAUGGUGGGAAGUGUUUUGGAACAAAUACUUCUCCAUCUAUUCCAACAUCCCAGGAUGUGAGGUAAAAUCCUCAAGUUAUUCGAAUAAAUUGAGUCACUUGUAUUAUUCUUAGUUUUCUGAUUAAUGGAUCUACUGCAUUAACUCGAGAAAAAUCCUAGGAAAUUUCGAGGGAUGCCUCGACACUGGAUACGUCCUUUGUACUGCCAAGUCCUGGAUUCUCUGAAGGAAUGACUGCAGGGACCAUGCUACAAAACAUCUCUCCCAGGACCAUGAGCCAGCAUAUAGUUGGCAAUACUUCUCAUUGCAAGGGAAAGGAUAUCGUAAUGGAACCUAGUUCUUCUAUAUUGGUGCCAACUGCUGGGAUAGAAAGACCAUGGUUCGAAAACUCAAUGCCUAAUGUAUUCAGUACCAGGUACUUACUCCACUUAUAAAUAGUCUAACGGAAAAUGCUUCAUGCACAAAUUUAGGUACUUCUCAAUGGCGGAGGCACCUAUGGGCCAGGGUAGGUUUGGGCCCUCCCCGGAAAUUGUGACUGAAAUAUUUUUCUCAUUUUUUGCUUAAGCCCAGUCCAGUUUUCCAGAUAUAUGUGUUGUGCCCACGCUGAAAUCUUGUAAAAACAAAGUGCAGGCUCUCAAAUUUCAUUUAGAAAAGCAAGAGAGCACUGAGCAAGAGAGAAAUAUCUGUGUUUUUUAUUUAUUUUUUUUGUUGCAUUUUUCUACUCAUAGUUGGAAAAAAGAAUUACUCUAUAUUUUAGCCCUCCCUCAUAUAUAUUCCUGGCUCCGCCACGGGUACUUCUUAUGGCGCAAUGUUAAGUUGUCUUUGCGUCAGUUCUUGAUUCUUCCUUGAGGCGGUGUGAGUUUUAUCUGACACAGUACUCUGUUGUAAUCUUAAGUUGUUUUUUUAUUUUUAUUUUCUUAUAUUAUUGAGAAUGACAUGAAUAAGUUGACACAGUUGAAUUAGUUCAUUUCUGUGUGUGCCUAUCGAAUUUCUAAUAAACCUGCUUAUUGUGCCACAGCCACCAACAGCAACAAGCUUCUACCCAGUCCUCAUUGCUGCUUGCAUGGGUAUGAGUACAGUCUUUGUACACUAUAUAUAGCUUGUUGGAUAUUAAUCAUAUCCUACAUAGCUGAGCCUACAAAAUGUGAACUGUAAAUUAUUUUUUUAGCUGAGGGAUGAAGGCUAAAUUAAUAUUAUUAUGUUGCAGGUUGCUAGCAAUCAAAAUUUUGAGGGAAGAUCUAGUACCCAGAUGGAGCCAACUCUGCAAGUACCAGGUCUAAAUUCUGAUCAGUCAACAGUGUCAAGCAAUCCCAGUGCUGGUGCAUUUGAUUUUUUCAAAUACUAUUUUCGCGAUUAAGUUGGAUAUGUCAAUCUUCACGAUGAUAAUUUUUUAUUUUUUGAGUUUGUAAUUCAAUUUAUUGGAUUUAAUUUUUAGACAACAGGCUCUGGCUAAACUCUUUUACCCGCUUCUAAUCUAUUAUAUAUCUAAUAGAACAAUUUUUUUUUUUGAUAAAUGAGUUAAUUCAAUAAUAAAAAACCAUACGGCAUCUACAUAAACAGUCGCGUCGAACAAACAAAAUACAGAAACAAUCACUGAUUAAUCCAUUCAUCUUGGAGAUAAAAUUACGUGAUUUGUUGAAGAUGAUGUCUACACAUACUUCGCCACUUUCGCUUCCGACACAAACAGUUUGAGCUAUCGACUGAAAAUGCAAUCCCUUGACAAUUUCUAUUACUAAAUCAAGCAUCAUACUCACACAAACGGUGAGAAAAUAACAAAACUCACACAAACGGUGAGACAACAAAAAAAACGGGUUAGGAAGCUAGUUCAUAAGUAAAAAUCAAGCUAUUCAUACAUAAAGAAGUUAUAUAAGUGAUCAGAAUUCAAGAAUUUGAAAAUAAUCUUUUUUUAGUUAUUUUUUUUUCGAAUUUUGAUUUAUAAAAAUAUAUUGAAACACUUUAAAUGAUUGCUUAUAAUAUCUUAUUAUUAUCUUAAUAAUUUUUAUAUCUAAUAUGUUAUAGAUAUGGGAAAAAUUUAUCCAACCACACAAAAAACAUUUUACUAUGACUUAAUUUGUUGACAUCAUUUUGUGGUUGACAUCAAAACAUUUUAUUAUGGUGGCCAGCUCCUAUCGAGCCGGAGGAGGGGAAAUUAGGGUUUGCGGAGGAUCGCUAAUGUAAUUAAUUAUUUGCAAAAAGAGAAGAAGAGGUAAAUUAAUUCAAUACGACUAAUAUACCCUUUACUUAUUACACAUAGUUUAAUAUAUAUAAAGGAUNGAUGUGGAGGCACGUCUUUCCUAUCUAAUAAAAGAAGGGGUCUAAUAUUGAACCAGUUGGUAGGAUAGAGCAUGACAGGACACUUCGUAUUUAUUUUUAUUUUUUUUAGAUCUACAUAUUCGUAGAUGAACUCUACCGAAAUACGAUAAACCGCAUUUUCGAUUUCUUUUUUUCAAGAAAGUUUUUCAUCUAACCGAAAGUAAUGCAAGUAUAAUUCCGGAUGUUUAGACAAUAAGGUUAAAUGAAUAAUAAAAGAAAGCCCAUAAGUCCCGUAGCUUCCAAAAUAUCCUGAAAAAACAAACCAAACAACACAUAAAUCAACAUACNGUAUACAUUAAUUAUAACAUGAUAAUUAUUUGGAAUUAUUUUGAUAUUAUACGUAUAAAUAAUAUAUAUCUAAUCAUUUUUAAAAUUUUAAAUUUUCCCCACGAAUUUUGUAAAUUUUAAUAUUCUAUCUGAUUUUUGACUGAUUAAUCCAGUUUUGACCAAUUAAUCAUCGAUUUAAUCGAUUUAUCAAAUCGUAUUAAAAAUUCGCCUGAUUAUCGAUUAUUCGGUUAAUCGGCUGAUUUUUAGNAUAGAAAAUCUAAUAAAAAGCAAAACAAAAAUAUAUAUAAUAGAUAUAAAAUAAAAUAAUAUAGAAAUCUAUACUAUACUAUAAAAAACCAACAUGGUUAUAAUUUGUAUUCGUACAAAAUUUUGGUUUGGUACUCUCCUCUAAAACAAAAAGUCUACAACUAGAUAUCUAUUAAACAGUUUCAUAUACUAAAAACACUCCUUAUUUAUAUUAAUAUCUUUUUGAAUAUAAUUUAUAAUUAGUUGAAAAAAGCUACUUGUUAAUUAUAACGUAUUCUACUCGAAAUUUAACUCUAACGUGUCCUAUUUCAUUACAAACACGAACCAUUACGAAUUGCGUAACAUAUGAAGAGGGUUUUAUAUCAAACGGGCCACUCGUUGCGUCAAAAAAUCUCACUUGACCCACAUAUUUCAACGAGGACUCAUUUAAGCCACUAUAAACCAAAUACAUAUCAUUUUACCCACAUCACUAUUCAUACAUCUUUACUUAAUCAUUAAUCAAAAAUUAACCGUUUGUUUUUUUACACCGAAACCACUUCAAGUACUUUCAUAAUUGUCUCUAGUAUUUAUCAAAAUAAUUUGAGAAUUUUUAAAGCAACAUAACUAUGUAAUUAAAAAUAUAUGUAUCUAUAAAUAUAUAUUUAUUUGAUAACCCUUGUUAUGUUGCUUUAUGAAUUCCCAAAUUAUUUUGAUAAAUACUAGAGAUAAUUAUGAAAGUACUCGAAGUGGUUUCGCAAUAAAAAAACAAACGAUUAAUUUUUUAUAAAUGAUUAAGUGAAAAGGUAUGAAUAGUGAUGUGGGUAAAAUGAUAUGUAUUUGGUUUAUAGUGGCUUAAAUGAGUCGCUGUUGAGAUGUGUGGGUCAAGUGAGAUAUUUUGACUCAACGAGUGGUCCGUUUGAUAUAAACCCCCAUAUGAAGAUAUAUGAAAUAUGAAACUUUUGAUUUAAAUUGAAUAAUAAACUGUCACAUAUUAAUAUCAGAAAAAUAUUUAUAGAUAGAUAAUAAACUUCCGUUAGAAGAUAUAAUCAGUUGGUUAAUAUAAUUUAACUAAAAUCUAAUUUAUUAAUACUAAAAUACUAAGAAAAAUGGUGUUAAGAAUUAAAUUAUAAUUAAUAAAUUACGAAUCAAAUACCCGCCCGUGCUAUGCACGGGGUUAAAGGCUAGUAUUAAUUAAUUUCUAAUCAAAGGAAAAUCCUUUGGUUAGACACAUAAAAAUUAAAAUUUAAGCGAGGAAUAGAAACAAAAGAUAAAAUAUAAUUAAACAUAUUAAAUAUAAUGAUUAUGAUAAUGGUCAAUAAGUCAUAAAUGUGGCAUCCAUAACUGGAACAAAAGGCCACUAAAGACACAAUAAACUCAUCAUUAAUGACUUCAUAAAUAGUUUUUAAAUUUUGAAUCUUUGAAACUUAAUAAAAGUAAUCAAUUUCCAAAAAUUAAGAAAGUAUUUGAUUAAAACUUAAGAAAAGUUGACCAAUUUUCCUAAAUAUAUAAUUAAACAACACAUUUCAUAGACAUGACUUAGAUCAUAUCCUGCUAGCCGCUAGGCCUCCUUCGCUGAGUGGUUGGGUGUUCAACAGAGAAAGUAUGCAUGCUGAUAGUGAUAAAGGGCCAAAGGCACUUCAUAGACAUGACUUAGAUCCGAUUGCAGAAAUGCCUUCUGCAUCGCUUGGUGGCCUAUCUGUGAAUGAGAAAGAAUUUUCUCCAACUACUUAUAACCCUUCUCCUCUGUAUGUGGCUCCAAUGCCUUCAGCACCACAAGUACCCGCUGAUGCAAAUUGGUUGAAGGGCCAUUCAUCAAAUUUUCCGGAGUCUAAAACUGGAGCUAAGAUCAGAGAAGCCGAAGGAAUAUCAGGUCCAACACCGACCACUAGGUACCCAAACCUGUCUCCUACUCAUGGACCAUUUAGCCCACGGCUUGCAAAUUUUAUUGAUGGCUAUCCACCACUUCUUGGAAUGAGCUCAUCCGAAUGGCUCUAUCAGUACAGGAACAGUCAUAUUGUUGAACAAGCUAAUGAUCGCAUAUGGCCAGUUCAAGUUAAUGCACCAGGAGACUUUAGACACUUCUACAGUCAUGAUGCUUCCAGGUUUGAUUUUUUCGACAGGUGGGGCAAUCCUUUGCCUUCCAGCCCCAUGGGUUAUUUGGAUAACCCGCAUUUGAACACAAAUUUGCCUCUCUGCGGAAUAGAGGAACAGAGAAGGGAGAAGCUGUUUCAUGGUUACCAAAGACCGAUCUCCUAUGGAUGUGUUACCGGGACAGACUUGGGAGCAGAGAAACCGCCACUUCUACAGUAUCUACAAGAAAGAGAAUGGCAACUACAACGAGAGAAUAAACUGCGAGGUCCUCCCUACAUGGGGAACUAAGUUAAGGUACAUGAAGACUUUAAGACUGACUUCAAUUCUAAGUCUAAAUGUUUGUUUGUACUUGGGUAAAUGAAGGUCCUGCAGGUUUUCAAGUGACAUUCUGGCUGAACUUAUAUUUGAAGAAGUGUGUAUUUCUUGUUAUCAAAUAGAAGAAAAAAGUAUGUAAUAUUUCUUUUAGAACUUAGUGAUGUAGAUCGAGGGAUAGUAGUAAAGGUUUAACGAUGUUCAUGCAGAUUGUGACUUGCCUGAAUUUGUAUAUAUCAUUUUUUUAUGAUCAAAUUUAACCGUUUCUGAGUGUCAAAACAUUUACCAUAUAAAGACUAAUAGGCUUGAAUAUUUUGUUGUAUUUAUGAUGGUAACUUGGAUUUUUCUGAAGUCGUGUGAACACUUUCAGAUUGAAGUUAUUUGUGGUUCAUCAAAUAAUUCAAUCGGAUAAAGUCAGAAAUUCUGCAAGAAGAGAAAAUGUGUAUCGAUUGAAGUUAUUUGUGGUUUAUCAAAUAAUUCAAUUGGAUAAAGUCAGAAAUUCUGCAAGAAAAGAGAAUGUGUAUCGUUGUGUUUUUCAAAUGAACCAUCACUUUGAAAUGAUCAAUGCAACAUCUAUAUAUAUAUGAUGUCAAUAGAUGUGUAUUUUGAUAAUAGAUACAUCUUAAUUAAAAUUGAUUUGUCUAAUGACAAUAGACACUUCUUAUCCCAAUAGAUGUGUCUAAUGUAAAUGGACAAAUCUAAUGCUGAUAGACACUUCUUUUUUUCGUGGUCCGUACAUAAAUCUUUGUCUCCUUUCCAAGUAUAAAUACAGUGUGGCACAUUGUUUCAUCUCACAUUGUUUUUUUUUUAUUUGGCAAACCGGUAUUCGGGCCAGUUUGCGCGCACCUGCUAUUUGGUGGAAAUGGAUUUUGGGGAUAAAGAUACUCAUAGAAUGUAAGCUAUUCUCUAUCUGUAGUGAGUGUUGGGCUAAUAUUGCUGCUUUUUCUAAAUUAUUUCUUUUUACAGUUCGAUUUUUGAAUUUUCAGGCUGAUGCUAUACAUUCACGAUCAUAUGAGAAAAAAUAACAUGCACGAGGCUGCUAAGAUAUUUGCAGAAGAGGCAAAUCUUGAGCUAAACCCGGGUCAGUAUUUUAAUUAUUUUUUUUCAUUAAUUCAACAUUUCAUGUAAUUUCUUAACUGUUUUUUAGUCUUCUUGAGGCAUGCAGUACUGAAAUUCAUUAAAUUUGAUUUUCUGAAAUAAUUAUUUGAUUUAUAAUUUAGUGAUCGAUGCUCCUCAAGGCUUUCUAGCUGAAUGGUGGGAAGUGUUUUGGAACAAAUACUUCUCCAUCUAUUCCAACAUCCCAGGAUGUGAGGUAAAAUCCUCAAGUUAUUCGAAUAAAUUGAGUCACUUGUAUUAUUCUUAGUUUUCUGAUUAAUGGAUCUACUGCAUUAACUCGAGAAAAAUCCUAGGAAAUUUCGAGGGAUGCCUCGACACUGGAUACGUCCUUUGUACUGCCAAGUCCUGGAUUCUCUGAAGGAAUGACUGCAGGGACCAUGCUACAAAACAUCUCUCCCAGGACCAUGAGCCAGCAUAUAGUUGGCAAUACUUCUCAUUGCAAGGGAAAGGAUAUCGUAAUGGAACCUAGUUCUUCUAUAUUGGUGCCAACUGCUGGGAUAGAAAGACCAUGGUUCGAAAACUCAAUGCCUAAUGUAUUCAGUACCAGGUACUUACUCCACUUAUAAAUAGUCUAACGGAAAAUGCUUCAUGCACAAAUUUAGGUACUUCUCAAUGGCGGAGGCACCUAUGGGCCAGGGUAGGUUUGGGCCCUCCCCGGAAAUUGUGACUGAAAUAUUUUUCUCAUUUUUUGCUUAAGCCCAGUCCAGUUUUCCAGAUAUAUGUGUUGUGCCCACGCUGAAAUCUUGUAAAAACAAAGUGCAGGCUCUCAAAUUUCAUUUAGAAAAGCAAGAGAGCACUGAGCAAGAGAGAAAUAUCUGUGUUUUUUAUUUAUUUUUUUUGUUGCAUUUUUCUACUCAUAGUUGGAAAAAAGAAUUACUCUAUAUUUUAGCCCUCCCUCAUAUAUAUUCCUGGCUCCGCCACGGGUACUUCUUAUGGCGCAAUGUUAAGUUGUCUUUGCGUCAGUUCUUGAUUCUUCCUUGAGGCGGUGUGAGUUUUAUCUGACACAGUACUCUGUUGUAAUCUUAAGUUGUUUUUUUAUUUUUAUUUUCUUAUAUUAUUGAGAAUGACAUGAAUAAGUUGACACAGUUGAAUUAGUUCAUUUCUGUGUGUGCCUAUCGAAUUUCUAAUAAACCUGCUUAUUGUGCCACAGCCACCAACAGCAACAAGCUUCUACCCAGUCCUCAUUGCUGCUUGCAUGGGUAUGAGUACAGUCUUUGUACACUAUAUAUAGCUUGUUGGAUAUUAAUCAUAUCCUACAUAGCUGAGCCUACAAAAUGUGAACUGUAAAUUAUUUUUUUAGCUGAGGGAUGAAGGCUAAAUUAAUAUUAUUAUGUUGCAGGUUGCUAGCAAUCAAAAUUUUGAGGGAAGAUCUAGUACCCAGAUGGAGCCAACUCUGCAAGUACCAGGUCUAAAUUCUGAUCAGUCAACAGGGUCAAGAAAUCCCAGUGCUGGUGCAUUUGAUUUUUUCAAAUACUAUUUUCGCGAUUAAGUUGGAUAUGUCAAUCUUCACGAUGAUAAUUUUUUAUUUUUUGAGUUUGUAAUUCAAUUUAUUGGAUUUAAUUUUUAGACAACAGGCUCUGGCUAAACUCUUUUACCCGCUUCUAAUCUAUUAUAUAUCUAAUAGAACAAUUUUUUUUUUUGAUAAAUGAGUUAAUUCAAUAAUAAAAAACCAUACGGCAUCUACAUAAACAGUCGCGUCGAACAAACAAAAUACAGAAACAAUCACUGAUUAAUCCAUUCAUCUUGGAGAUAAAAUCACGUGAUUUGUUGAAGAUGAUGUCUACACAUACUUCGCCACUUUCGCUUCCGACACAAACAGUUUGAGCUAUCGACUGAAAAUGCAAUCCCUUGACAAUUUCUAUUACUAAAUCAAGCAUCAUACUCACACAAACGGUGAGAAAAUAACAAAACUCACACAAACGGUGAGACAACAAAAAAACCAAAACCAAACAGGAUAACCUAACAACCAAAUGCGUAAAUGAAAUAUUGGCUAAAACAAGGCAAUCUUAGAUCUGGGGAACAAAAGCCACAAAAACAAGAUAAAUCGGACCAAUUUCGAGGAUAAAAGUAUCGGGAAGAACGAGAAAUCCGCAGUUCCGUGGAAUUGAGAUCUAAGAAAAAGAAGGCCAAAUCGGAAAAGGUUUUGAGUCCUUAGAUCCGGAAAAACAAAUGCCAAAGAAGUUUUAUUGAAAGAAAAAAGAAAACACAAGAGAAGAGAAAUAAAAAAUUUUGGGGCUUUCCACCGGUAGAGAUCGGGUGGAAGGCCCCGUCGCUACUAAGCAAAAGAAAAGGACAGAGGAGGGGAAAUUAGGGUUUGCGGAGGAUUGCUAAUGUAAUUUUUUUUUGAAAAAACGCACUUGCAAUUUUAUAGCUUAUCAGAAUCAAGCAUACAGAUGAUGAAAUCCGGAGCAGUAUGUAACCACUCCGUAGGACCUGACAUAGAAUACGAAACUCUUGCUAAGCUAUGAGCUACCAUAUUCGUAGAUCUAUGAGCAAACAAGACUAACACUUCAUCAAAGUGUUUAAGUAAAUCAGUACAAUCAUCAACGAUUGCAUGAAAGUAAGUAUUCCCCUGGUUUCCAUUAACUGCAUCGACCAAGAUUUUUGCAUCGCACUCAAACACACAUUUACUCCUCUUCCAGUCCUUUGUCCAGGUUAGGGCCUCCUUUAGACUUAUGGCCUCUGCUUCGCGUGGGUGAUAACUACCUUGAACUACACUGCUUCUGGCCCGAAGGAAAUUUCCCCAUUCAUCCCGAAUAAUGCAUCCUAUGCCCACCUGUCCAGUUCCCAAAACACAAGCUGCAUCCGUGUUUAUUUUGACCCAUCCAGCAGGUGGUUUACACCAACUUCUCGCUACUGUGGGUUGACGAGUUGCUCUUUCCUUCCCUUCUUCCCUAGCUUGCUGCCAUUCUACUAGCAUGCUCAUCGCUUUUGAUCUCACUCCGAAUGCCGACGUGUUAACAUGGUUCCAAACCCAGCUAUUUCUUCGCUGCCAAAGGUUCCAACACAAUAAACUAGCCAUCCUGAUUUGCUCCUUACUUCCUGCUUGGAAAAUCCGUUGUAAUACUGUCAUGGCCGUGUCAUUUUGUCGAGUUGAGACGAGAUUGCUUAGCCCAGAACCUUCCCAUACCUCUCUCGCGAAACAACACUGAAAUAAGACAUGAAUAUCAUCUUCUACACCCCUCAAGAACCAAGAACAUACUGUAGAGAUAUCAACUCUCUUCAUAGCCAGUGCAUAGGCUGUCGGCAGACAACUACGACAUGUACGCCAUAAAAGAUUUAAUACUUUACCAGGCAGCUUCAAACUCCAUAAUUUCUUCCAAAACACUCCAUCACGGCAUUCUGCUUCCCCUCUCAGUCUUCUAUAACAGCUUCUUACAGUAAAUUCGCCUUUGUCCUCGAGUAACCAGAACCAAGAAUCUUCCCUUCGUCUGUUUGAGAUAGGUAUCUGUCGGACAAGAUUUCUGUCCCUGUCAUUUAAGAUAUCAUUUAGAAUGUCAUCAUCCCACCCCCCCUGAUUCUCGUCAAAUAAACAUUGCACCGUACUAUGCUGCAGUUCCUCUGGUAGUUCAGUUGUUAAGAAACCAUUUUCUGGGCUAGGUAACCAGGGGACUUUCCAGAUUUUAGUGCUCAACCCAUUACCAAUCCGACGGCGACAUCCUUGACGCACCACGUCCUGCGAUUCGAGAAUGCUUCUCCAUACAUAACUUGGGUUGGUCCCAAUACUUGCAUUUAGAAAAUCUGUUUGCGGGAAGUACCGAGCACGCAUUAACUGUGUUACUAGGGGAUUUAUAUUAUUCACCAGCCUCCAUGCUUGUUUUGCUAGCAUUGCAACAUUAAACUCUCGCAGUUUCUUGAAUCCUAGUCCUCCAUCCUCCUUUACAGUGCACAAUCUUUCCCAUGACAUCCAUUUGAUACCUUUAUUUUCACUGCCAUUCCCCCACCAGAAGGCAUUCAUAGACUUUUCAAUUCCAUCACAAAUCUCUACUGGUAUUAGAAACAUAUUCAUCCAGAAAUUCGGAAUAACCUGGGCCGCUGUUUUCAGUAGCACUAUCUUACCCGCCUUUGAAAUAGGCUGAUUUUGCCACCCGUUAAGCUUUUGUUGUACUCGCUCUACCAGAAAAGAGAAAGUUUCAUUUCUUUUUCGACCAACUACCAUAGGCAUUCCCAAAUAUUUGCCUGGGUUUUGCUGUUCAGAGACACCCAAUUGACUACAUACCUCCAACCUACUUGCUUCAUUAGUGUUAGGAGAGAAGGUUACGCCUGACUUUGUAUAGUUAAUCUUCUGCCCUGAGAUGUCUUCAUAUCUAUUCAGAAUCCUUUUCAUGACACUAGCUUCAGCUCCAGAUGCUUUAAAGAAAAAAUAACAGUCGUCUGCGAAAAGGAGAUGAGAAAUAGUAGGCGCUCCUCUGGCAAUAGUACAUCCGUGUAAAAGUCCUGCAUCUUCAUUAUGACGAAUGAUAGAGCUUAAACCCUCCGCACACAUAAUGUAUAAGUAUGGUGAGAUGGGAUCGCCUUGGCGUAAUCCUCGUUCUGGCACAUUUUCACCAAAUAUCACCCCAUUUUGAAGGAAACUGUAUGAUACAGAUUGCACUAACUUCAUGACCUUGUCAAUCCAACUCGUACUAAAGCCAAAUUUCUCCAUCAUAUUUCGAACAAAUCUCCACUCCACCCUAUCAUAUGCCUUUGAAAUGUCGAUCUUUAAUCCCGCAAUACCGUUUUUACCUUGUGUGCGCCUCUUCAUGUAGUGGUUUACUUCAAAAGCAAUUAGUGCAUUAUCCGUUAACAAUCUUCCCUCGAUAAAAGCACUUUGCUUAUCAGAUAUGAUCGAGGCUAGGCACGGCUUCAAACGAUUCGACAAUACUUUUGAGAGGACUCGCACUAGCACAUUACAAAGUGAUAUGGGCCUGAGAUCUCCCAUUGACUGUGGCAUCUUAACUUUCGGGAUUAAACACACAAGGGUUCUAUUAAUUCCCUCAGGGAGUUCCCCUGUUGUCAUAAAACUCUGACAAAAUUGAAGCACAUCUCUUCCAACUAUGCUCCAAAAGGACUGAAAGAAAGCUGGAUUUAACCCAUCCGGUCCUGGUGAUUUGUCGGGGUGCAUUGAGAAUACUGCCUCCUUCACUUCCUCGAUUGUCACUGGCUCUGUUAGGGCUUCAUUCUCCUCCUCCUUCAGUUGCUUCACCCUUUCGCUGUCAGAUAAUUUUCCAUCAGCACCCGUGGACUUGAAAAGCUGGCCGAAGUACUCAGUCACCACCUCCUGUAUCUCUUCCGCUGUCUCUCGCCAUACUCCAUUCCCAUCUUUUAUUCUUUGAAUGCAGUUAUUUUUCUUCCUAACAGAGGCAUGCCUGUGGAAAAAACGAGUAUUACUGUCCCCUUCUUGUAACCAAAACUGCUUAGCUCGCUGUUUCCAAUAUGUUUCUUGUUUUUCUAGCAGAUUUAGAUACUCCCAUCUAACUUUGUUAUACAUCUGUAUACCAUUCCUGUCUCUUCUGGCUCUCAACUUUCGCAAUUUUGUUCUGCAGCUUAUCAGUCCCGUCUUAAAUUCCUGGCUGAUCCCCCCUCCCCAUUCAUCCAGCUUUAGACAACAAUACCUUAUCUUUUCUAAAAUAUCACUGCCUUCCGUAAGCUCCCAACUGUCCUUAACUACACUGAAACAAUCUUUUUCUCUGAGCCAUACAUUUUCAAAUUUAAACCGUUUACUCUUUGGGGCAUAAACUUUCUUGUUUAGCUGCAAAAGAAGUGGCAGGUGGUCUGAGGUAGCUACCUCGAGAACUUGAACUUCUGCUUGCGGGAACAUACUACACCAUUCCUGAGUUGCCAAGCCACGAUCUAGCCGCUCUUGUAUCCAGUAAUCUGUUCCCCGUGAUUUCUCCCAUGUAUACUUCUCACCAACGUAGCCUAAGUCGAUCAAGUUACACUCACAAACUGUAUCCACGAAACCAGUUAAUAAGUUACGUGGGUGUGCACGUCCCCCCUCUUCUCCUCCGCAAACAUAAGGUCGUUGAAGUCGCCUAUAAUACACCAAGGCAACUGUGAUUUAUCAGCCAGACUUCGGAUUAAAGACCAUGAUUCACGACGACGAGCUCUUUCAGGGCAGCCAUAGAAGCCAGUGUAUCUCCAUCUCCCUACCUGCUCAUUCUCAACUUCAAAAUCAAUAUAAUGGUUGUUCACCUCCUUUAUCACACAUGCUCCUUCAUUUUUCCAUAAAAGAGCCAGCCCUCCACUAUGCCCUCGAGCGUCCACUGCUAUGUAACCUGCGAACCCUACCUCUUUUCGAACUUCAUCUACUCUAACUUUAUUUGUUAAUGUUUCAGAAAGAAAAAUAAAACAAGGCUUUGCUUGGUGGGUAAUCUCCUUUAAAAAUUGAACUGCCCGUGGUUUACCCAGCCCACGACAGUUCCACGCAAUUAAACUCAUUUGUCUAGGCGGGCCUGUGGCACAGGACCCGCCUCUUGCAAGUUUUUUGGCCCACCCAAAUUGCUAGGCCCUUCAAAAUUAUCCACUCCAUCACCUUUUGUAGUAUCCUCAUCCGCCACACGUCUACGUUUAGGAUCAAUAAUAACCACUUCACUAUCCUGAAAUACCGCCUCCGUGAUAAUCUCUUUCUGAUUUGGCAAGCUGUUAUUUUUUGAAUUCCCCCCCUGAUCUCGCUGCACAAUCUUUAUCCCCCCAUUAUCGCCAAAAAACUCGCCUAACUUUCCAUCCACGUCCAUGAAUUUCGCGUGCACCCUAUCUCCUCCAUGGACGGUGGUUGACUGAUGUGCUCUUCCCCCUCCUGUACCUCCUGUCUGACUUCCGUUCAUGCUACUUCUCAGCCACCUAGCCCCCAUGUUUUGAGUAUUAGUAUUACGCGUUGGAGCUCUCAGCCAAGUACCAUAUGCUCGCUCUAUUUCCUUCUCCGUGUUGGCAUAGACUAUCCCACAAUCCCGAUCAGAAUGCCCCAACAUGCCACAAACAAAACAAAAGGUACUUAGUCUUUCAUACUUGAAGUUGACCCAACUCCAGUCUCCACCCUCCCUCUUGAUCUUCAUACGUCUUUUCAGCGGUUUGUCCAAGUCCAUCGUGACUCUAAUGCGCUGAUAAAGUUUCCAUCCUCCAGUGAGGUUUGCAGGAUCAGUUUUGACAAAGGACCCUAUAAACUUUCCUAUACUCAUGAGAAUAUUUUCAGAUAUGAACCCUUGCGGAAGAUCAUAGAUCUGAACCCAAAUGUCGAUUUUAUUCAAUUUAACAAGAUGGGGAUCCUCAUGCUCUCCAAGUUUGUGAGACACCAGUAGGCUCUGUUCAAACGUCCAAGGUCCCCCCUCCAAAACUUUCUGUAAAUCUAACGGAUGAUAGAAAACAAAAGAAAAUCGACUCCCUCCAAUAUCAUGAACAUCCAUACCUUCUUUUGGACGCCAGAGAGAUGCGAGUACGUUCUGCAUGGCAUUGAAAUUAAUGUUUCUCUCCGUAAGAAAGCGCCCAACCAAGACAUACGUAUUUCUCGGUUGUUGAAUAUCCCCUUCUGCAACUAUGACGCCUCCAGUAUCAUCCUCCUCCAUAGCCAACCUCGCGUACAUUUCUUCCAGAUUUGUCAUUUGUGAAUUCAUUUGAUUAAGAAAACACCCGUGUAACCCCUACUGUGAUGAGACAAGAGUGAUAUAGACCCGUAAUACCUAUUUCCUUGUCAUAUGGACAAGACAGAGAAAACUUGCAAUCAUGCAAGACAGCUGUUAAAUCGAUAAUUAUUGUCAGAGCUUUUCCAUGUCAGAUAACGACAAUUCGAAACGCUAAUGUAAUUAAUUAUUUGCAAAAAGAGAAUAAUAUACCCUUUACUUAUUACACAUAGUUUAAUAUAUAUAAAGGAUAUUAUUGACUUUUAAUACUAACGUACUUAUUAUACAUUAAUGUCUGAGCAUUAAUAUACAUUAAUUAUAACAUGAUCAUUAUUUGGAAUUAUUUUGAUAUUAUACGUAUAAAUAAUAUAUAUCUAAUCAUUUUUAAAAUUUUAAUUUAUCCCCACAAAUUUUGUAAAUUUUAAUAUUCUACCUGAUUAAUCCAGUUUUGACCAAUUAAUCAUCGAUUUAAUCGAUUUUAUCAAAUCGUAUUAAAAAUUCGCCUGAUUAUCGAUUAUUCGGUUAAUCGGCUGAUUUUUAGAAUAUCUAAUUAUUGUGAUUUAAUAAAAUUAUAUAUAUGAUUUUUUAACUAUACGACAAAGAUUCUGAUUCGACAAGAAUCUUAUUUGUUUUUAUCAAAUUUAGAAUAAUUUUAGGUGAACGAUAAUUUAAUUAUAUAAUAAAAUUUUAAAAUAGUGUAUAGUUUUUUUAUAUUUAUAUUUUAAUAAAUAUCAUCAUAGUGAGGAUAUAUGUACAUUUAGACAUCAAGAUAAUAUGACUUAAAAUACAGGCAAAUAUCAAAUUUAAAUUAUUUUCAUAAUAUAAAUAAUCUCAAUUUUUUUAAAAAAAUGAAUAAAAGAUAUAACAAUAUAUCAAAAAAAUAAUUUAAAACAAGCACGGGUUAGGAAGCUAGUUCAUAAGUAAAAAUCAACCUAUUCAUACAUAAAGAAGUUAUAUAAGUGAUCAGAAUUCAAGAAUUUGAAAAUAAUCUUUUUUUAGUUAUUUUUUUUUCGAAUUUUGAUUUAUAAAAAUAUAUUGAAACACUUUAAACGAUGGCUUAUAAUAUCUUAUUAUUAUCUUAAUAAUUUUUAUUAUCAAUAUGUUGUAGAUAUGGAAAAAAUUUAUCCAACCACACAAAAAACAUUUUACUAUGACUUUUUUGAUCAACAUUUUACUAUGACUUAUAUAAUUUGUUGACAUGAAAACAUUUAGUUUUGUGGUUGACAUCAAAACAUUUUAUUAUGGCUUAAUGUGGCUAGGCUCUAUCGAGCCAGUUACAUGCAUGGCUGGGCUGCAUAGAUGAGUUCUGGGCUAACUCCUUCUAUGAUCGUGAUGAGGAGGCACGUCUUUCCUUGUUAUAAAAGAAGGGGUCUAAUAUAGAACCAGUUGGCAGGAUGGAGCUGGACAGGAGACUUCGUAUUUAAGAUACAAGGCGCGCCAAUCUGUCCGAGAUAUGAGGAUAACCUUUUCGGGGAUAUAAAGAUCAUCGUUCUCCGAAUAUACCGUUAUCAUGUCCUAAGUUAUUAUUUAGGGCAUUUGAUGGGAAAAGUUGCUCCAACAAUGUCCUAGUGAUGCCUUAUAUCACUAGGACAACAUCCUCAAGCCCUAUUUUUGAGGCACCUCUCUCCAUGCCCUAUCACAUAUUUUAUUAUAAAAUCUCAUCAACACUCACUUAUUCUCUCUAUUUAUUAUGCUUUAAUGAUGAAAGAGAGUCUUUAAUAAUAAAAUAUUAAACAUCUUGUGGAGUUUUUAAUAAUAAAAUAUUAAACAUCUUAUAAGAAUAUGACACAUUGUUGGAGUUCAAGCUAGUAAAGUAUAUCCUAAAAUACUAGGACAUGAUAUUUUAUAAUAUAUUUAGGGCAUCAACUAAGACACUCUUGGACUUGCUUUUAAUCCUAUAUUAUGUCCGUGUCCUCGUACGGGGCUUAAGGUAAUUAUGAUUAUUAGUGAAGGUUCUCCCGGAUUGAUGAAGAAGGGUCAUUUGUCUGGAUCCUGGAUUCUGGUGAAUUACCCUCGUUUGAGACGAUCAUAUGUGCGGAUUUCAAGUUGGGAAAGAUUUGAAAGUAAAUAGAUGUUUUGGAGCUAAAUUAUAUGGAAAUUUGGAUUUAUUGGGCUAUACCCGAUUUUUACACUAUUUGAGUCAUAUCUUUGAGAUCUAAAUAUUAGAUUUGAACGUUCUUACAACCCAUGCUAUAUUAAAUUUCCUCAGAAGUGGUCCAGGAAGAAAAAUCCAACUAUAAAAGCCCGUAAACUGAGGUCCAAAUUCAGCCACGAAUUUUUGACAGAAUCUUACUUUGUUUUGGAGUUUAUUGUAUAUUAGUAAAAACAUUAAAAGUACUUUUGUUAUGAAAUAUAGGAUGAGAUAUUAUUAUGAUAGAGUAUUAGAUUAAAAUUAGAGUUAGAGAGAAACCUAUAAACAUAGACCAAAGCUUUUCUUGGAUGACAACAAUAAAGGUUAAAAGUUUUGUUCUCUAUUUUCUUGUUAUUUGUUUGAAGGACUUAUUAGUUUAAUUAUGUCUCUUUAUUACCUUAGUUGUUUUAGUUAUUUAGAGUAGUGAGUUCUAGAACUUAAGGAUAAGUCAUGUUUGCAGUAUGAUAUUGGAAUGAUUGAUAUGUUUUAUCAUUGAUUUGUGUAAUCGCCUGAUAUCAUGAAUUGUAACUAUGCAAAUAGGAAUUAUAUAAUCGAGAGAUAUACUACUAGAGACACACAUCAAUUAGAAUAAUUGAAUUUGAGUGCGAUAGCAUCAUUAGAUUCUUGAUUAAUGCUUGAGAGAGAUUAGUAUUGGUUUAAUUACUUGAUUAAUAAAAUUACUAAAAGUGAUAAUACGUGUAAUCAUGUUCCGAGAGUGUUGAUACUUGAGAGAUAUUAACAUAUUCUUGUUACUUGAUCAUUGUAAUGUUUUAGCUUAGAGUCGGUCAUUGAGUAAGCAUGGUGGACCUGAUCGCCCUAGACUUUUAUUAUAGAACUAUACUGUAGAGAAGUAUUAAUGUUCGUGCAUUGUCCACGCCCUAUACAACUUAGGGGACUAAGGGAGUACAAAAUUAGAAAGGAAAAAAAGUGUAAAAAUAUGGUUAGGGCAGGGAGUAUAAAGAUGCAGAUUUUUGGUACUAAGCGGGUGUUUGGCAACACUUAAAUAAGUACUUCGGCACUUCUUCUAGCACUCUAAACUACUUCUACUUUUUACCUAGGGGCCGUGGGCUAAAUUUAAACAAAAGUGACUUAUUGCUUAAAGUAAAGAAGUGGAUUAAUAAAUGAGAAGUUGAUUUAGAUUUAUAUGUUAUUAGAAGUGUUUGGAUAUCAUGACUUAUAAGUUAUUUAAGUGUAUGAAUAACUUGAUCUAUAAAUUAGUAUAGUUUGAUAAUUUUGUAAUAUAUUUUUGAUAUAUUUGAAAGAAAUAAAUUAUACUAAUACAAGAACUUAUAUUAUUAAUAUAUGAAAUAUUUUAUAAAUUCACAAUAUAAAAACUCGUAUUAAAAUAAUAAAAAUAAAAACAAAUAACUCAAGUAAAUAUAUCUAUAAUUGUAAAGAUCGUAUUUAGUGUGUGAAAGUUUGAAGCUAAUUAAAAAAAGAAAAAGAAAAAGCUAUGUGGUGGAUCAUAAAAAGCUAGAAUCCAUGUCUUUUUUUGAACAUUUAAUACCCAUGAAUACCCAUGAGAAGUAUUUAAACUUAUUUGCCAAACAUGCCAUCAAAUAGCAGACAACACUUCUUUAAUAAAAAAGCUCAGAAGCGGGGUUGCCAAACACACGUCUAGUGUCCGGCAAAAGAAGUACAAGGGCUUCUUUUGAGGUUUUUAAGCCAAAAACUAGAAGUCAGAAAUGCUAGUAUUUUUGAGUUUUUUUAGUGAUUUGCAUUUUAUUAUGAAGUUUUUAAAAUUUUAAUAUGUAAUAAAUUGUAUUUAUUAACUAAAGUUUCUUUUAUUUUAAUAAUUUGAAUUUUUUCAAUUUAUAAAUUUAAAUUACCAAAUUUAAUUGACUUAUAAGUAAAAUUUAUCCAAACACUUUUAUCAACUUAUACUCCCUCCGUCCCCCUCAUUUGUUUACAUUGGGGGACGGGGGCUCGGUAUGCAUUCUAAUGCUCUCAUAAAACGUAGUUUGAUAAAUUAUUUUGAAUUUUUUUCUUCUGAACAAAAAUUUGAUGUCUGUAUUUUUAUCCAAAAAAGAAAAUUUUUAAAAAUAAAUUAUAAAACUAUGUUUUAUAUGCGCGUUAAUAUGCGUGUCGAGCACUGGAAAAAAAACUGUAAAGUAAUAAGAGGGCUUUUCUUGUUAUAUUUUAAAAGGUUUCAAAAAAAGGUUGUUUUUAUAUUCAUUUAAAUUUUUUUCAAAUAAAAUGAACCAUUUUUUAAUAUAUAUAUUUUUGUCUCUUUCUAAAUUUUUCAUAAUAUGUUAAAUAUUAUUUAUUUUAUAUAUUAUGCACAAAUUAUAACAUUAUAAUCAUACAACAUUUAUAUUUUAUGAUACAAAUCAAGUACAAACGAGUAGCUAGGGCUGAGCAUUCAGUCGGUUCGGUCCAGAACCGGACCGAACCGAAAGGACCGAAGACCGAACUCCUGUAAAUUUUUGGACCGGACUGGACCGAAGUUUCCAUAUGGACCAAACCAGAACCGAACCGAAAUACUUCGGUUGGUCCGGUCCGAUCCAUUAGAACCGAUUUUUUUAAAAAAAUUUAAAUUAUCUGUGUUACAAAGAAAAUUAUCAAGCUUGAUAUACUCUUUUACGACCUUGAUCACACAAAAAUUGCACUUUCAGUACUGUGCUUUAUCAUUACAACCCGUAAGAAAGCCAGAUCUUUGUGGCAAAUUACCACCCUACAAGACUAAAGGGGUUGAAAAUUGUACAAAAACAUCAGCAGAGGCUAAUGCACACUACUACAAACUGGACUUUCAGCGUCGGUUAAAUAACCCCUAAGGCGUCGGUUAAAUGGCGAAGCAAAUGUGGGAGACGCUAUAGGUAUAGGCCUAUAGCGUCGGUUAAACUGGCGACGCAAAUCAUCUCUAGCGUCGGUUAAAGAGCAAUGCAAAAGGGCCAGCAACCGACGCUUUUGGUCAUAUAUUAGCAUCGCUGCACAAGAACGCCGACGCUGAAAGUAUUACAUUAGCGUCGGCGGUCAACAACGCCGACGCUUAAAGUACUACAAAAGCGUUGGCGGCAACAACGCCGACGCUUAAAGUACUACAAAAAGCGUCGGUGGUCAACAACGCCGACGCUUAAAGUAUUACAAUUAGCGUCGGUGGUCAAAAACGCCGACGCCUAAAGUAAUACAAAAGCGUCGGUCAUGAAAACUGCCGACGCUGUAGAUCCUGACCUCUUGCGUCGGUCAUAUAAAAUGCCGACGCUUUUGCUUAUAUAUAUUUUUUUAAUAUUUCUUAAAUAUCUUUGCGACCUGUUCCAUUAUACUAAAACAUCUAAUAUUAUACCAAUACAAUACACCAAACAAUUAAAUCCCAAAACAACUUAAACAAUUAUAUCAAGAAUUAAUUAUGUCCAAGUUUACACUUGAAAGAAACAUUACACAUUAAAUGCCACAAAAAAAACUUCAUGAUAUCAGAUUGUUACAAAUGAAUCCAAACACACUGUCUCUAGCAAGAAGUUCAAGAUCUUCAAGGACCAGUGAUUGUAUAUCACAGUACUGCAGCAGGCAAGAACUUAAAUGCUUGAACUGUUAGGACUUCAAACGACAAGGCCGAUGACAAGAUUACCUACACAUUCCCAUCACUAUUAUACAAUNNNNNNNNNNNNNNNNNNNNNNNNNNNNNNNNNNNNNNNNNNNNNNNNNNNNNNNNNNNNNNNNNNNNNNNNNNNNNNNNNNNNNNNNNNNNNNNNNNNNNNNNNNNNNNNNNNNNNNNNNNNNNNNNNNNNNNNNNNNNNNNNNNNNNNNNNNNNNNNNNNNNNNNNNNNNNNNNNNNNNNNNNNNNNNNNNNNNNNNNNNNNNNNNNNNNNNNNNNNNNNNNNNNNNNNNNNNNNNNNNNNNNNNNNNUCGUCAUCGUGGCCUUUUGGAGUCCAUGACCCAUCUGAUACUUGCCUCUGCAACUCCUCCUGUUCAUAACAGAAAGAAAUAUUAACAGCCUUGAUAAGAAAUAUUAACAGCCUUGAUAAAUUCACACUAUAACAUAUUAAUGCACUUAUUCUCUGAUUGCUAAUCAUGUGCUGGUUUCAUCUCUUAGUAUUUAAACAGAACGUGGACAGUGAGAUGGCAUAUGCAUGUUUAGACAGUUUGGCUACUUUCUUUGCUAUACAUAAAUAUACAUAAAUAUGGUGCUAAAUUGUCAUGCUGAUCAUUUACUUUUAAUCACUCCAUGUAUCAGAUUCACUGGUCUUAAUAUCAGAUUAGACAGUAUGCUCAAUGUUGUAUAAUUUCAGCCCUGAUCCAAAUAUUAACGAAGAUGUAAAAGAAAGAAAGUCAGUUAUGUUUUUACCAUUUUCUCAAACACCUCCUUUGUCUUGUCAUUUGGAAUGUAAUAACCUCCAUCCUCCUUUGGUUUUGAACGUGCUCUCACCCAAUCAUAACUACGCCCAGUACGCUCAUUCGAUAAAUUUGACGGGUUAACUGAUUCGGAAUCAGUAAAAGAUUUGAUGGGGUCAUCAACAGACCACUUAGUCCUCUUUGCCGCAUAUCCAACUGGCCCUAGGUAAUGUACAUGUUCAUUACAUUUUUGACUUUUCUUUGCUAAAUAUAACUCCUUCCAAUUUUUUAUAUUUAAAACAAAACAUAUAACUUUACUUUUUUAAUCUGUAUCUAUAAAUAAAAUAAUUGCUCACACAUUUGUCUCGACUAGAGUACAAUUUUAUUGAUAUUAUUUAGCUUUAAAAAUACUACAUAUACAUAGUAUUAUGAUAUUAUCUUUACAUACAAAAUCAAGAGAAUAUGGCAUACAUACAAAAUCUAAUAUGUCCAACCUAUAUUAAUUUAAUAUCAACUUAUAAAUUGUUAUUCAAAGUUUUUUUCGAUCUAUAAGUUUAGAACACCCUAUUAUUUACUUGCACUCCAGCUUUUUUACCAACCUUAAGUCUUUAAAUUAAUAAUUGGAAUCAGGGAGUUGAAGCUAAGAUCCGCAGAUUAGUAACAUAAUUACUUGUAUUUGAACUCUUCCUACAGUUAACUCAAUCAAAGUUAAAGUCUCUUCCAUCACACUAAAUUAGUGUGAUGGAACUAGGAACAAGCUGCUUAAACUCCUGUUAACAGGGGACUGAGAGAAGCAGAUAGUAUGUUAAUAAUAUUUCUUAUACUCUAUUCUUUUUUGUAUUUUUGGUAUUUUGUAAUUCCUAUCUCUAAAAAAAACAGAUAUUAUAUAUACAACAAACAAGAAUCCAUAGAAAUUCGAGCAAUGCUACAUGGGACUUUAAGAAGCUAACUAGCAAUAGAUAAUAUAAGACUCUUCAGCAACUAAAAAUAGAACUGUAAAUAUCAAUAUUUACCUGACAGUAGUCUGGCUACAGGAUUGAUGUCAAGAUGCAGCAGAGCAGAAAAUCCCACAGAAAUAUUUGCCUCUGAGAACCUAAACAAGACAAUUGGCACUUAUUUUAGUGUAUAGCAUUAAUGCUUUCAUAAGAGAACCUAGACAAGACAAUUUUAUGCGUCGUCUGCUUAUGAGAUCAGUUGAUAUGCUAUCAAGUUCUUAACUUGGUUAUUUCAGAAUGAGAUCAUGUGACAUGACACCUACUUUGACAUGCUUCAGCUAAUGACCUAAAGCGCUACACAAGUGGGAUAAAAUAAAAGACAAUUACAAACCAAAAUCUCUUGUGCAAACAACAUGGGACAUGUCCAAUUAGUAUGAAGUCUCUCAUCAUCUUUCAACUAAUUUAGCCCAUGUUUGUGCACACAGUUGCCUUCUCCAAUUAUUCACUCACAACAACAAUAUACACAUAGGGAAGAUUACAAUAAGUAUGCUGCUGUCCAAGUUAUCCUGUCUAAGGUAUAUCAGGAUUUCGCGGUACUUAAAUUCUAGACAUUCUUGAAAGAAUAUAGCUUCUGCACUAAAGCAAUAUCAAGCCAAGGCAUAUUAUUUUGCAUGUGCUUGCAGAAAACUACAAUCAACAUAUAUUUGUAAAUCGGCCGAAAUCAGCCCAGGAGGCUCUGGGUUAAAAUAAACAAAUAUCAUGGUAUUAUCAGCACCUAGAUUUCACGACAUAGGUAUACAUAUAAUAAACUACACCCCUGAAGUUUCCUGGACUUCAGCAAAAGCAUUAGUACACCUAAAACACUAAGAUUUGACAGAUUUUUGCAAGAAAUGACUAAUCUUAUUAUCAUAAAGCAAACAUAACAUACAAGUCAGGUAGAAUCCAUGCCGACCUUACCUUACUGAGGCACAAAGUGUUUCCACAAAGACUUUGUGAAUAAAAAGAUAAAUAAAUAAAAGAAUAUAUUUAACUUUAAAAUAAAUAAAAACUCGAGGAGCUGCAAGAAGUCAUAUAGUUACAAGUACGGCAGAAACAAUUGAAAGAAGCUAAUGGCGCAAAAUAUAAAUCCUUAAAAACACUACGAUAUGUAACGCUAGACAUAUUAUAUAAUAACACCAUGACUAAACAAAUCUACAAACAUCAAAUUGACAGAGGCAAUCACAAUCAUAUGUUGAAUAUUGUAACUUGGGAUCACUUGAUUCAUCAAACACUCACAAUUUUGAUAGCAGCAAUAGCUACUGUACAGUCAAAUCAAAAGUGCAUCAUCAACUACAGUACUAGUUUAAACCAACUCAAAUUCACAGCAUUGAUGUUACAGAACUGAACAUACUAGACCAAAAAACCAACAAAAAACUGAAAGAAGCUAAUGGCGCAAAAUACUAACAAAAAACUAAUACUAAAAAACACUGCAAUAUGUAAAGCUAAACAUUUUAUAUAAUCACAUCAUGACUAAACAAAGCUACAAACAUCAAAUUGACAUCAAAUUAAGUACCCGGCAAGGACUUUGUACUCAAAAUUAAGUACCCACAACCAAAAUUAUGUACCCAAUAACCAGCCCCCAACACCUAGCAAAAUAACUCAAACACCCAUCACCGAGCAAUGAAUCAAACACCUGGAAUGCAGUAACAAAAUUAAGUAUAUGGGUAGUAACAAACUUAAGUGCCCAGCAAAGGCUUUCUUCUGAAAAUUCAGUACCCAACAACCAGCCCAACACCUAGCGAGAAAUCAUACACCCAAAUAACUCGAAACGGAAAAGAAAGAGACCUCGAUCCCUCGACAACUAGACAGGAAAAAGAGACGAGAAUGGAAAAGUGAGAAGAGAAUGGAGAUGGGAGAAAGUGAGAUUGACACCUGCAAUGAUUAAUCGAACGAGACGGAAGAGAAGUCGAGAACGAAGUCCAGAGUCGUGUCCGGAGUCUUGGAAGCGCACAACUGCUUUUCGCGCACAACUUCUUUUCUUUUCCUUUUAUGUUCUGGGUUAUAUUUUGAUAUUAACUGUACUAGCGGUUAUAUAAUUUUAAAUUUAUCAUAUAUAAUUUAAAUUUUAACAUCAUUUUAUUCGUGCUUUUAUAUUAAUGAAUUUAAAUUUUUAUUAAAUUAUAUUAACAAAUUGACAUAUUCACUUUAAAAUUGAGCUUUUGCAAUAUUUUUUUAUAUUUUCUAUUAUAAGUUACGCAUCUAUUAAUAAUUAUUAUAUAAUAGUAAUAUAUAUUAAUGAUAGUAAAUUUACUUUUUUUAUUUUUUAACUAAUUAUAAAUUAUAUUUAAAAGUAUAAUAGUGUAAUUUUUAUCUUGUAGUAUAUAAAACUGUUUAGAGAUGUAAGACUAUGAGAACUCUACGUGUAGCAGACUUUUAGUUAUAAAGUGAAUCACCAAACCAACAUGACCAAACCAAAAUUUUGUACGACUACAAAAUAUACCCAUGUUGGCUUAUUAUAGUAUAGUAUAUAAUUUUAAAUGUAUCAUAUAUAAUUUAAAUUUUAACAUCAUUUUAUUCGUGUUUUUAUAUUAAUGAAUUUAAAUUUUUAUUAAAUUAUAUUAACAAAUUGGUUAUAUUCACUUUAAAAUUGAGCUUUUGCAAUAUUUUUUUAUAUUUUCUAUUAUAAGUUACGCAUCUAUUAAUAAUUAUUAUAUAAUAGUAAUAUAUAUUAAUGAUAGUAAAUUUACUUUUUUUAUUUUUUAACUAAUUAUAAAUUAUAUUUAAAAGUAUAAUAGUGUAAUUUUUAUCUUGUAGUAUAUAAAACUGUUUAGAGAUGUAAGACUAUGAGAACUCUACGUCUAGCAAACUUUUAGUUAUAAAGUGAAUCACCAAACCAACAUGACCAAACCAAAAUUUUGUACGACUACAAAAUAUACCCAUGUCGGCUGAUUAGACUACAAAAUAUACCUAUGUUGGCUUAUUAUAGUAUAGUAUAGAUUUAUAUAUUUUUUAUUUACUUCACCUAAGGCGUCGGCGUUCCACAAAGACGAUGCUGGCACUUUAGGCGUCGGCAUUCUGAAGCACGACGCAAAAGCUCCAGUCCAACUGCACUUCUAUAGCGUCGGCGUUUCAAUACCCGACGCUAUAACUACCCUAAGGCGUCGGCAUUCUGAAGCCCGACGCAUAAAAUGGUUUAAGGCGUCGGUUAACUGUGAAACCGACGCCAAAAAACCAGAGAAAUUGUCAAUAUGCGUCGGUUAAAUUAUCACCCGACGCAUAAAGAUGUCUAAGGCAUCGCCUCCCUGUAAAACCGACGCCUAAAGUGCGACGCAUAAAAUCAUUUCUGUACUAGUGAGUACUAUAGGUACCUUUGAUUCUCUAACCAGAGGGCUGAAUAUUUGAUUCUUUGAUCGGACGAGCAGUGAGUGGUCGUGUGCACGGUGCUGGGAUGUAGUGGGUAGUGGGAUAGGCGAUAGUAGAUUAGGUACGUAUAAUAGAUUAGGGUAUAGAUUAUGUUAAGUAAUAUAUAAAAUAAAAAUAUUAAUUAUAUAUAUAUAUAUAUAGAGAGAGAGAGAGAGAGAGAAAGUAUAUAUAUAUAUAUAGAGAGAGAGAGAGAGAGAGAGAUAGAGAGAGAGAGAGAGAGAGAGAGAGAGAGAAAAGUUCUAUGGAGACUGAAUUUUGUGGAGGAUGGAGAGACUUGAUCAUAGCCAUCCAUUUCUUACACAUCCAAAGGCUCAUGUUAUUUGUCCUGCACAUUAGUUUUUUCUCCCUAUCCUGUGCUGCACUUCUAAAUCGGUGAACAACAAGUAGUAGUUGUAAAUUCCGCAUAACAUAAAAUAAUAAUUUCAUAAUAUUGGUGUUCAAUCACCAAAAUCCUAACAAAUAAAAACAAUAAUUGCAUACAAAACAAAUAUGUAGUUGGACAUUGCUAUGAUUGGCACUAAACUCAUUGUCAUUGUCCUGCAACAAAUUGAAUUUGUUGUAAGAAAAAAUAUCACUUAGAUGUAUCACAAAUGCGGGACAAAUUAUUAAUAUUACAUUAUCAGGAAUGCAGGACAAGGAUAGUGUAAAUUAUAAAGAUAGUUUUGAAUUAAAACUAAAACAAGAAAUGCAGGACAAGAAUAUUAACAAUACAUUACUAGAAAUGCAGGACAAGAAUAGUGUAAAUUAUUAAUAUUACAUUACUAAAAAUGCAGGACAAGAAAUGCAGGACAAAGAAUAUUUAAUCAUGUCCAUUAAUUGCCAAAUUAUUUUAACGACAGAUCUUGUAGUCUUUAAGGACUCCAAAGUUUUUGGUCUUCAUUGAGCCCAACUAUAUAUAUAUAUAUAUNNNNNNNNNNNNNNNNNNNNNNNNNNNNNNNNNNNNNNNNNNNNNNNNNNNNNNNNNNNNNNNNNNNNNNNNNNNNNNNNNNNNNNNNNNNNNNNNNNNNNNNNNNNNNNNNNNNNNNNNNNNNNNNNNNNNNNNNNNNNNNNNNNNNNNNNNNNNNNNNNNNNNNNNNNNNNNNNNNNNNNNNNNNNNNNNNNNNNNNNNNNNNNNNNNNNNNNNGUGGGAUAGGCGAUAGUAGAUUAGGUACGUAUAAUAGAUUAGGGUAUAGAAUAUGUUAAGUAAUAUAUAAAAUAAAAAUAUUAAUUAUAUAUAUAUAUAAAGUUCGAUCCAUUCGGUCCAGGACCGAAGAUUUUGGUUGACGACCGGACCGGACCGUAUUUUAUUUUGGUCCUGACCGAAAUACCCGAACGGACCGAAAAUUCAGAAAAUUAGGACCGAACCGGACCGAAAUUAUUCGGUUCGGUUCGGUUUUUCGGUUUCGGUUCGGUUUUGCUCAGCCUUACGAGUAGCUAUACGCUGAAAAUCAUAUAUUGCAUGCACCAUUACCAUAAAUGUAACAUCCCCAUCUUAAAUCAAGAUGAGGAGUUACCUACAGACCUAAAACUUGCAAACAGAACACUAAUCAAUGAAAAAGACCUGCCAGAAGAAGAAUACGGCAUGAGCCAAAUGCCCAGUACGGAUUGAAAGCAUUUACAAAACAAAAAACAUUUAAAAAUAUUUUGAUAGUAUAAUAAAACAGUUAUUUUUAAAAUAUAAGCAACGAGGGCUUAGGAUAUUUCAUACCGAGAUCAAACAGAACAGAUACAAAUACACACAUCAUAGGGUAUCGAAUGUGUGCAACAAAUCGGAUAACAUGUACGGCAUAUACAACGUCACCGCCAAUCACAAAUCAAAUCAAACUGGGUGCACCCACGUAUCCUAAACAAAUAAUCAAAAUGGCCAAAGCUCCUCCCAAGAGCUAACAGAAGGAUACGCCGUGACUAAUCACACUGUCACGGAAGUGUCAUGUCAUCGGUGCCGCAAUGACAUGGCUGUCUCCUACUCAUGGACCAUUUAGCCCACGGCUUGCAAAUUUUAUAGAUGGCUAUCCACCACUUCUUGGAAUGAGCUCAUCCGAAUGGCUCUACCAGUACAGGAACAGUCAUAUUGUUGAACAAGCUAAUGAUCGCAUAUGGCCAGUUCAAGUAAAUCUAGAAAGCAGGGAUACUUCAGUUUAACGAAGAACUGCGUAUCGGAUACUUCGUAGUGCGGGGGUGCGCGAGGGUGCGGCGGAGUGCAUACGGGAUACGCCACGUGGCGUAUCGGUGGAGGCAGCGAUGGGGAUACGUGGGGGGUGCGGGGAUGGGGGUGCGGGAGUGGCACAAUUCAUAAUUUAAAAGAACUUUUUUCAAAAAAAAAACCUAAAAUCAAUCAGUCAAAACCUAUGUUGCUCUAUACUCGACUAUGUGCAAUCAGAUCGUUGUCAUCGCCGGAAAUCUUCUGGAGGUUGUCGGAAAGAAUGCCCAAGUCGUGAAUGGUAGUUGUAUAUGACUGCAGACUCACAGAGAUGAAGUUUGGCGAACGACCACGGGGCAGAAGAGGGCAGAAGAAAAGGGGGAGAUAGUCUAUCUAGAACAGAUUUGUGUUUAUAUGUAUGUAUACACUUUGGUAACUUUAAAUGAACCUGGACUGAGGUAUGUCCACAUUCAUUUCCUAAUUUUUCAUUUACCUUUAAUGAUAAAUUUUAGGAACUAAUUAUACUUCAGAAUUCACAAAUUUAAUAUAUAAAAAUAAAUGGUUUAAAUGUUAUGAAAAUUUUAUAAAUUAUAUUUAUUUACAAUAUAUAUAUAUAUAUAUAUAUUAUAUAUAUAAUAUAUAUAUAUAAUAUUUUUAAUAUUUUAAUAUUUGCCGUAUCCCCUCGCACCCGUAUCCCCAUAUUUUGGAAUUUGACGAAUUCCCGUAUCCACGUACCGCGCACCCGCACUCCCGCACCAUACAGCGCACCCGCACUCCCGCACCCGCACUCCCGCACCCGCACCCGCACUCAUGCUUUCUAGAAGUAAAUGCACCAGGAGACUUUGGACACUUCUACAGUCAUGAUGCUUCCAGGUUUGAUUUUUUUGACUGGUGGGGCAAUCCUUUGCCUUCCAGCCCCAUGGUUUAUUUGGAUAACCCGCAUUUGAACACAAAUUUGCCUCUCUACGGAGUAGAGGAACAAAGAAGGGACAAGAUGUUUCAUGGCUACCAAAGACCGAUCUCCAAUGGAUGUGUUACCUGGACAGACUUGGGAGCAGAGAAGCCACCACUUCUACAGUAUCUACAAGAAAGAGAAUCGCAACUACAACGAAAGAAUAAACUGCGAGGUCCUCCCUACAUGGAGAACUAAGUUAAGGUACAUGAAGACUUUAAGACUGACUUCAAUUCUAAGUCUAAAUGUUUGUUUGUACCUGGGUAAAUGAAGGUCAUGCAGGUUUUCAAGUGACAUUCUGGUUGAACUUAUAUUUGAAGAAGUGUGUAUUUCUUGUUUUUGUCCAAAAGCUACAAUGUUCUUGUGCCGAUCAGAUGGUUAUCAAAUAGACGGAAAAAAAUAUGUAAUAUUUCUUUCAGAACUUAGUGAUGUAGAUUGAGAGAUAGUAGUAAAUGUUUAACGAUGUUCAUGCAGAUUGUGACUUGCCUGAAUUUGUAAAUAUUUUAUUUUUUUAUGAUCAAAUUUAACCGUUUGUGAGUGUCAAAAUAUUUACCAUAUAAAGACUAAUAUGCUGGAAUAUUUUGUUGUAUUUAUGGUGGUAAGUUGGAUUUUUCUGAAGUCGUGUGAACACUUUCAAAUUGAAGUUAUUUGUGGUUCAUCAAAUAAUUCAAUCGGAUAAAGUCAGAAAUUCUGCGAGAAGAGAGAAUGUUUAUCGAUUGAAGUUAUUUGUGGUUUAUCAAAUAAUUCAAUCGAAUAAAGUCAGAAAUUCUGAAAGUAACGAGAAUGUGUAUCGUUGUAUAUUUCAAAUGAACCAUCACUUUGAAAUGAUCAAUGCAACAUCUAUAUAUAUGAUGUCAAUAGAUGUGUAUUUUGAUAAUAGAUACAUCUUAAUCCAAAUAUAUUUGUCUAAUGGCAAUAGACACAUUAUAUCCCAAUAGAUGUGUCUAAUGUAAAUGGACAAAUCUAAUGCGAAUAGACACUUCUUUUCCAAUAGAUGUGACUAAUGCCAUUGUUAAUGCUACAAAAUAUAUUUACUCAGGUUGGAAGUAUGUUUUGACAAUAUUUGUAUACAUACUACCAAUAUUUGUCAUAGACCUGUUGUCUAAUUCGAGAGGAGAAACAUACCGUACAAAUCAGGGGAACGGUAAGCCGACUUAUUUUCUUAUAUUCACUAGAAUAAAUUAUCAUACACUAUACAUUUGAUAUAUGAUCACAUUGGUCAUUCUCUAUACUCGAAAUAAACGUGCCUGCAGUGCUGGCAAUUUUUAUUACAUUUUGGUUAAAAUCCUCAGUCUGAGUUGUCUGAAUGUUGGGGUUCAAGCACUACAAAAAAACUUAAAAAUGUGAGUAAUAGCCUUUAGCUAUUCACAUGUAAAUGCUAGUCAAUUAUGGCUUUCAUGCAUGUAAGGCCAAAAAAAUAUCAUAGCAAACAAUGAUAAUAACUGGAUUAUUAUAGCUUUAUAGCGUCACUAAAGUUUAUUCUUAUGUAAUUCUUCAGUUUCACUAAAGUUUAUUCUUAUGUAAUUCUUCAGUUUCAAGAAAGUAAAACGUUUUGCUUUGCAUGCUUAUGUUGGGCCGCGCAAUACCCGUUAACUCCGCAUUAGUAUGAUAUUAUCCGCUCUAGGCGGUGGCCAAGCCUGCACGGAUUUGCUUUCGGGCUCAUCCCAAAAGGCCUCAUACUAAUGGAGUUAUUUGGCUGCUUAUAUUCAAGAUAAAUCUUCUUUAUCUUUCCGAUGUGGGACUUGGGUUAAACCCACUCAACAGAUUAGUGUUCACGUUUUGUACACUAUCAGUUUCCCUUAACAUCACACUUUUCAUUUUUUUUUUGGUAAUUUUGUCUCCUUUCCAAGUAUAAACACAGUGUGGCACAUUGUUUCACCUUACACUGUUUUUUUUUUUAAACCGGUGUUCGGGCCAGUUUGCGCGUACCUGCUAUUCGGAGGAAAUGGAUUUUGGGGAUAAAGAUACUCAUAGAAUGUAAGUUAUUCUCUAUCUGUAGUGAGUGUUGGGCUAAUAUUUCUGCUUUUUCUAAAUUAUUUCUUUUUACAGUUCGAUUUUUGAAUUUUCAGGCUGAUGCUAUACAUUCACGAUCAUAUGAGAAAAAAUAACAUGCACGAGGCUGCUAAGAUAUUUGCAGAAGAGGCAAAUCUUGAGCUAAACCCGGGUCAGUAUUUUAAUUAUUUUUUUUCAUUAAUUCAACAUUUCAUGUAAUUAAUUUCUUAACUGUUUUUUAGUCCUCUUGAGGCAUGCAGCACUGAAAUUCGUUAAAUUUGAUUUUCUGAAAUAUUUAUUUGAUUUUUUAAGUGAUCGAUGCUCCUCAAGGCUUUCUAGCUGAAUGGUGGGAAGUGUUUUGGAACAAGUACUUCUCCAUCUAUUCCAACAUUCCAGGAUGCGAGGUAAAAUCCUCAACUCAUCCGAAUAAAUUGGUCAAGUACGUGUAUUAUUCUUAGUUUUCUGAUUAAUGGAUCUACUGUACUAACUCAAGAAAAAUCCUAGGAUAUUUCGAGGGAUGCCUCGACACUGCAUACGUCCUUUGUACUGCCCACUCCUGGAUUCUCUAAAGGAAUGACUGCUGGGACCCUGCUACAAAACAUCUUCCCCAGGUUUACAUCUAUCAGCACCAUGAGCCAGCAACUAGUUGGCAAUACUUCUCAUUGCAAGGGAAAGGAUUCCGUAAUGGAACCUAGUCCUUCUGUAUUUGUGCCAACUCCUGGAAUAGAUGGACCAUGGUUCGAAAACUCAAUGCCUAAUGUAUCCGGUACCAGGUAUAUAAUUAACUUACAAAUAAAUAAUCAGAAAUAUGAAUUAUUCAGUUUUAUUUCUUAACUAUUAAUUCUUUGAAUGGCUUUUGUAAUAAUCCUGCUUAUUGUACCACAGCCACCAACAGCAACAAGCUUCUACGCAGUCCUCAUUGCUGGUUUCAGGGGUAUGAAUACAGUCUUAUUACAAAAUGUAAAUAAUGCGGGGUAUGAAUACAGUCUUAUUACAAAAUGUAAAUAAUGCUACACAUGGAUGAAGUCUAAAUUAUUAUUUUAGCUGGGGAAUGAAGGCUAAAUUAAUAUUAUUAUGUUGCAGGUUGCUAGCAAUCAAAAUUCUGAGGGAAGAUUUAGCAGCCAGAUGGAGCCAACUCUGCAAGUACCAGGUCUAAAUUCUCCGUCAACAGGGUCAAGAAAUCCCAGUGCUGGUGCAUUUGAUUUUUUCAAAUACUAUUUUCACGAUUAAGUUGGAUAAACGUUACCUAGCUAGUAGCUAGUAAUAGAUUACCUUGAUAUGUUAAUCUUCAGGAUGAUAAUUUUUUUAUUUUUGAGUUUGUGAUUCAAUUUAUUGGAUUUAAUUUUUGGACAAUAAGCUUUGGCUAAACUUUUUUGCGCGCUUUAUAAAUUAAAAAUCAAUUUAUUCGUACAUAAAGAAGUCAUACGUGAUCAGAAUUCAAGAAUUUGAAAAUAAUCUUCUUUUAGUGAUUUUUCUUUUUCCAAAUUUUAAUUUAUAAAAUUAUAUUGAAACACUUUAAAAGAUAACUUAAAUUUUAUUAUCAUCCUAAUAAUUUUUAUACCUAAUAAGUCGUAUCUAUUAAAAAAAUUUAUCAAAACACAUAUAAAAUUAUUAUUCAUUUUUUUGUCACAAGAUACUUUCUCGUGAAUUUCAAAAUUUAUAAACUUAAUAAACCAAUCAUUGACAUCAUGACAUUUUGUUCGGGCGUAAUUUACCUAGGCCCCUAUCGAGCCACUUACAUGCCUAGCUGGAUAGAUGAGUUCUGGGCUAACUCCUUCUAUGAUCGUGACGAGGAGGCAUGUAUUUCCUUGUUAUAAAAUAAGGGGCGUGACCCAUAAAACAUGUACGGUUGGCAAAAUUUUCCGAAUCACGGAUAUCCAAUCGAAUUGAUCUGAAUGGUUUUUACCGAAUCCGAUUUUUAUGGUAUAGUUACGAUUUUGGUUUUUAUUUUUCAAAACCGAUUUAAUUUGGUUCGGAUUUGAUUUUUAGGGCAACCGAACAAAACCACCAACCCGAAUAUCCAAAACCCGAACCAAACCGAAACCCGAACGAGCCCGAUAGUAUAGAUUUAUUUUAUAUCAUUAUAUAAUAUAGGUCAAGUUCUAUGAAGUACACAAUAAUAUUGGAGUACCAGUCACAAUUUUUUACUUUAAUUAUAAAUAAUAUCUUCGACUGUAAAUUUUUUUAAUAUAAUUUAUCAUUUAUAAGUACACUUGAACAUAAUUAUCACUUAAUCAUUAAUAUAUUUCAACUUUAACACGUAUUAAAAUUAUUGUUCUACUUGUGAAUUAUAUCGUAGAACAUAAUGUCCUCCACUACAAAAAAACAGGACAAAACCAACCGGCUAAAACCAACCGCCAAAAAAAAGUGUCGACUUAAAACCGACCGGCCUAAAUCGGUCGGUUACACUGCAGCACGACGUCGUUUUGCCUUGCUGGCAAGGCCAGACAUUUUAUAACCGACCAGAACAAGAGCGGUCGGUUUUAUGGCUGACGUGUACGACCACGGUUAUGUUUUCUUAACCGACCACGGUUAUGUUUUCUUAUCCGACCACGGUGUCUGUUGGUUAUGUUUUUUUAAAAAUUUAAUUGAUUUUUAAAUAAAUUAUGAGUUUGAACGACGACGUUUAAUCGCGAAAACCAAAGCGGUCGGUUUUAUCCUAUUAUAUACAUAUAAUUUUUUUUAUUUUAUGUGGAAAAUGGAUUACAUAAACUCGUCAGAAAAGGGGUUACGACACCGUUUUCUUAUAAAUAUCAUAACCGACCGGCGCCGGUCGGUUUUAAGUCGUAAUUUUGAUUAAUAUGAUUCUCCCCCACCAGUCUCUCUUUCUUUUUCCCCAACUUAUUUUCUUCCUCUUCUCUUCCCAAAAAUCUCUCUCUCUCUACUCCCCUCUCUCUCUGUCUCUCCGCCAACUAACCUCUCCCUCUCCGCCAACAAAAUGCACAUGAAGAAUACGGAUUUUAAACUCCAUUCGGUCUCGAUUGGAUUUUGGAUAUCAAUCUCAAUUAGGGUUCAAUCUCAACUUAAAGGUAUAUCGAUCUCUCCCUCAGUUUCUCUUUAGCAUUUUGUGUAUGUAUAUAUGUGUUUUUGUAUGUAUGUAUAUAUAUGUUUCUUUAUGUAUAUGAUUUUGAAUUUGAGUUUGAUUUUGAUUUUUAGUUUCUCUUUAAUUGUUUAUGUUCUUUGAAUUCGAUUUUUAGACGAGUUUGUAAGCAUGAAUGCAUGAUAAUGAAGAAGGAGUCCAUUUUUGAAGCAAAAUAUAUAAUCAUUUCAUUAAUAUUCAUAAACGUCUUUAUAAAUACUUAAAUAAAAUUCAUAAAAAAACACUUAAAAACAACUUUAACAACUUCAAAUCCCCGAAGGGCCCGCCUCGCCUUUGCCCUUGCCCGCCUUGUCCUCCUUGUCCUCAUCCUCCUUUUGUUGCUUCAACUUCGCGGUCAUCAUCCCCGCGAAGCGAAUCAUCCACUCUUGCUUGCGUAGCGCUGCCCGCCUUUCUUCCUCUAGCCGCUCCUGUUCGAGAUAGUGAUCCAUUUGCAUGAACAUGAUUGGGAUUCUAUAAUCCCAAUCCAUUUCCACCCAAAUAUCAUCGGGGAUGUCGAGAAUGCCAUAGGAGACUCCAUCGAUUGUGACGGUGUUGCUGUUGUAGUUGAGUAUGACUGCCAUUGUAAUUUUGAUUGUGAUUGUAGUAGUUGUAGUUAAUUUGUGGUAGAUUAGAGCCCUUUUUAUAGCACAAGUGUUAAGCAACUAAAAAGUCUCUACAUUGAAUUGUAUUAGUGUUACAAUCCCAAGAGUCACCCUUCCAUUACCUUGUAUUGAAUUCUAUGAGUUACACUCCCAAUAUUCAUACCCCUUGAUUGCUUAGGAAUUUGAUAGGAUUUUGAAAUUUAAAUAUUAUUAAGAUUAAUUUUAUUUGAUUUUGGACUUUGAAUUUGAUUUAAAUAUUGUUAUUACUCAUCUAUUUUAAUUGAUUUUGAGUUUGAUUUGAUUUUGAUAUAUUUUUUUGAGUUUGAUUUUAUAAAGCGUGUGAGUUUAAUUUGUUAUUAGCAUAAAUUUUAAUUUGAAAUAUUUUGAAGAUUAAACAAUUUUUUAGGGAGUUAUCAUUGACGGGACUGGUUUUUAUCAGACGACUUGCGAAUAAAUGGUUGCAUUUGUUAUGAGUUUUCUGAUAUAAAACCAGUUCCGUCAAAUUAUUUUUUUAAAAAUUUAAGCGACAAAACUGACCGACACCAAUCAUAACCGACCGAGGUGACCAUUGCCGUAACUCAGUAAACCGACCGAUAACGUCAUAACCGACCGCUUAUACCAUAACCAAGUGCAGAAAACCGACCGAAUUGCUGGUCGCUUUUGAUCUGUCGGUUUUACGUGGUCGGUUUUAAAUGCUGGGAAAAUAGCGCACUGCUCGUUAACCGACCGGAAACAUAUGGUCGGUUUUGUGUUUAUUAGUUUUAUUUAUCGAUUUAUUUGGCUAAGUCAUGAGAAUGCUCUGCGGCACCGACGAACGACGUCGUAUGCGUACUAUAAAGCCGACCGGCGACGGUCGGUUUAGAUUAUUUUUAUUUUUAAUUCUCGAUUUAUUUGGCUAAGUGCAGAGACAACGUCGUUUGUGUGAUAUAAAACCGACCGACCGCGGUCGGUUUUGGUUAUUUUAAUUUUAAUUCUUGAUUUAUUUUGGCUAAGUGCUGUUUAGUGGACUAUAAAACCGACCGAAUUCUUGGUCGCUUUUGAUCGGUCGGUUUUACAUGGUCGGUUUUAAAUGCUGGGAAAAUAGCGCACUGCUCGUUAACCGACCAGAAACAUACGGUCGGUUUUAUUUUACGACAUAACCGACCACCUGGUGGUCGGUUUUGACCGCCAUUUGUAUAUUUUAUUAUUAAAAAAACGGCGGGUAGGUGCGUUUUAGCAGUGAUACGACAGCGUUUUGUUAAAAUAGACAUAACCGACCGGUUGUUUUUGACAGGCGGUCGGUUUUGUUUGAGCUAAAAAGUAAAAAACUACUCUCCACUUUCAUUAUACAACAAAGCUUGGAAAUUAUCAUAUAUCAAAAGAAGAAGAAGGAGAAGAAGAAAAAGAAGAACAAGAAAGGAAGGAAUCAAUUAUCAAAAACAAAGUAAGCUACUCUUCUUAAUUAUGAUCACAUUGUGAUUUUAUUUAUUUUGUUGAGAAUAAUUUGUAUGCAUGUUGUUUAUAUAAAUUUCUUGGAUAAUUUGUAAUGUGUAUAUGUUAUGUUCAUACAUACGUGGUGUGUAUAUAUAUUUAUGUAGAUGACAAAUCUUGAUCGGAGUUGGAUUAGUAACCGGUUGCAACGAGAUAAAAUUACUCUAAAUUUAGAAUAUAGGGAAGGUGUAGAGGAAUUUUUGAAUUUUGCAAGCUUGAAAAUGGAGGGAGGUAUGAUGAAAUGUCCUUGCAAGCUUUGUAAAAAUUUGAAUUGGUUAGGGGUAGAUGAUGUUCGGUUUUCAUUUGAUAUCCGAGGGUAUGAUGGAGAGUUAUACGGUAUGGACUUCGCACGGAGAGGUUUCGCAAAAAAGUAAAAAGCGAAAAUCAUGUGAAACGCGAGAAUGUCGUAGGGUAGUAGAUGAUCAUGUUGAUAUCAACUCCAUGUUACAUGAUUUUGCCGGUUCGAAUCAUGAAUUUUAUGAUACCACGGGUACUACUAAUGUUGAAGAAGCUCCUAAUGAUAGUGCUAAAGAAUUUUAUAAGGCGAUUGUUGAAAAUGGUGCUCCUAUUUAUCCCGGUUGCACAAAAUUUACAAGAUUAAGUUUUACCGCAAAAUUGUUGGAGUUCAAAAAUGCGUCUAAUUGUAGUGACAAAGCCUUCAACAGUUUGAUUAAGAUCAUUAUGGACGUGUUACCAAAAAAGCACACAUUACCCGAGUCUUAUUAUGAGAUGAAAAAGGUUAUGAAAAGUUUAAGGGUGGAAUAUGAAAAAAUUGAUGUGUGCGAGAAUGAUUGUAUGCUAUUUUAUGGAGAUGACAAAGAUAAAAUUGUGUGUGAUAUAUGUAGUUGUAAUCGAUAUUUGGAUAAAUCAAGGAAAAAUGGUAAGAAAAUUCCGAGAAAGAUUUUAAGACAUUUUCCUUUGAUUCCCCGACUGCAACGCUUAUAUAUGUCGGCACAUACAUCCAACCACAUGAGGUAUUACAAAAAUCGAGAGGUCAAUGAAAAAGAAAUUUCUCACCCUGCGGAUGGAGACGAAUGGAAGAAUUUUGACCUCCGAUAUCCAUCAUUUGCUCAAGAAAUUCGUAAUGUGAGACUUGGUUUUGCGACCGAUGGUUUCAACCCGUUUGGGAAUACGGGUAACAAAACAUAUAGUGUAUGGCCCGUGGUAAUUGUUGUGUAUAAUCUUCCGCCGUCCAUGUGUACGAAAAGACCGUAUAUGUUAUUGACGGAUAUUAUACCGGGUCCGGAGAGUAUUGGGAAAAAUAUUAAUAUAUAUCUUAGACCUCUCAUUGAUGAAUUGAAGACAUUAUGGUAUACCGGAGUGCAAACAUAUGACCAAUCUCUAAAACAAAAUUUUACCAUGAGAGCGGCUCUUAUGUGGACAAUCAGUGAUUUUCCUGCCAUGAGUAUGGUAAGUGGUUGGUCGGGGAAAGGAAAGCUUGCAUGUCCAGUGUGUUUGGGAAGUGUGCAGGGGUUUCAGUUAAAACAUUCUGGGAAAUGUUCUUUUCAUGGCACUAACCGAAUUUUUCUUGAACCUAAUGAUCCAUUGCGUAAGAAGAGUAGCUUGUUUGACCAUUCGAAAAAAAGGUUGUGGUGUGGACGCUUAUCCGGGGAGGAAGUUAAAACUUGGAUUGAUAGCAUAGACUUUCCACCACCCGGAAAGACUAACAAAAAGAAAAGAAGUGAUGGAUAUGGGGUUGAGCAUCAUUGGACUCAUGCCCCGAUGUUCUAUGAUCUCCCUUAUUGGUCUUCACAUAGUUUGCGACAUUCCAUUGAUAUCAUGCAUACCGAAAAAAAUGUGUUUGAGAACAUAUUUUUUACCAUUGUUGGGGGUAAGAAGUCAAAAGAUCACCACAAGGCAAGGUCGGAUUGCAAACACUUCGGUGUGUUGCCUCAUUUGUGGAUUGAUGAAAAUGGCAAAAAACCAAAAGCUCCGUACUCUCUUAGUAGAAAACAACUCAAACUUCUAUGUCAGUGGAUUGAGUCGUUGAAACUUCCAGACGGUUAUGUCUCAAAUAUAUCUCGUUGUUGCAAUGCUAAGGAGUGUAAGUUUUUUGGAUUUAAAUCGCAUGAUUGUCAUAUUUUCCUUCAAAAAUUGUUGCCUCUAUCAAUUCGCGAUCUUCUACCGGGACCAAUUGUGGAUGCCUUGACAAUGAUUUCCAAUUUUUUUCAAGAAUUAUGUUCAUCCGUGAUUUCAGGAGGACAGUAAGUCUACUUGUAGUAACUUAUCUAUAUAUAUAUAUAUAUAUAUAUAUAUAUAUAUAUAAUAAGCGAGAGACGUGAGAGACGUGAAUGCUGACCGUUGGAUCAGUCUUGAUCUUGUAAUCUAAGCAGAUACUAUACGUACUGUAUAAAUACAAUUAAAUAAUGAUUAAGGGCAGUAUACGGAAGCUUUUAAAACAAAAAAAUAUUUCUACGUAUAUUUGUUUGAAUCUAUCUAAAAUUUAUUACAAAACUUACCAAUAACNNNNNNNNNNNNNNNNNNNNNNNNNNNNNNNNNNNNNNNNNNNNNNNNNNNNNNNNNNNNNNNNNNNNNNNNNNNNNNNNNNNNNNNNNNNNNNNNNNNNNNNNNNNNNNNNNNNNNNNNNNNNNNNNNNNNNNNNNNNNNNNNNNNNNNNNNNNNNNNNNNNNNNNNNNNNNNNNNNNNNNNNNNNNNNNNNNNNNNNNNNNNNNNNNNNNNNNNNNNNNNNNNNNNNNNNNNNNNNNNNNNNNNNNNNNNNNNNNNNNNNNNNNNNNNNNNNNNNNNNNNNNNNNNNNNNNNNNNNNNNNNNAUACACACCUUAAUUUCUUUAUUAAGAUUUAAUUCACAUAUAUAUUAUAUUCAUGAUUUAAAUUGUUUUUGGAAGGAAAUGAAAAGGAAGGAACGUGGAAAGAAUCCAACUCGCCUUGAAGUAUGGAACCGGACGCAUACAAGGGUUGGAAGUGAUCCCGAGCACCCCGUGUAUACCACGCCUGCUGCAAUGGCCAUAGCGGUAAUUAAAUGAUUGUCUUGUGUUUUUUUUUAAAGUUUCAAUGUCCAUUUUACUUUCUAAGUUGUUUAAUGUACUGAUUGAUGCACAUUUCUCUGUAGACACGAUAUGCUUCUAUUCUAGAAAGCAGGCCGGUGUCGGUUACACAAACAGGGGAUAGAGACGAGCCCUUGGAAUGGUGGUUGUCAGCAACCGGAGUUCCCGAAGGCAAAAAGCCUAAGAAGGACUACCUUGUUGGAUUCCCCGAGGCUCGUGCUAGUCAACUUAUUCCGACUCUCGCCUCACGUUACAGGGAUUCAACAAGAGGCGAAGCCGGUGGAUCUUCCGGUCAGAGACAAACCGUCAUUCCCGACAAUGUGUACCUCUCGGUCGUGCGCAAUGUGCUCAAUGAGGUCCAUGCGAACCCCCUUCAAUUUCAGCGACAAAUGUCUGAAGAAGAGAUCGUGAAUUUUGCAAAGACCGCACUAGAGGCCUCCGAUCCAGCUGCCGAUCCAAGUACAAGGGUUCAAUGGAAUUCUAUGAUUGGUGGGGAGAUGGUACACAUUGUGGAGUCGAUGGUCGAGGAUAUACUCCUCAAAAUGGAAAGGAAGGUUGAAGAGGUACGAAUUCAUAUUUGUUAUCUACAUGUAUUGAUCGAGUAUGCUUAUUUUCUUACUGGUUGUCAUUGUCUAUGAUAUGUGCAAUUAGGAAAAGGAACGCAGACUCGCAGCGGAGAAGGAUUAUACUGAUCCAGAGGAUCUGUCGGAGGAGGAACGCGGAGGACCCGAAGCCGGUGCUGAUGCGGGUGCCAAUGCUAGUGCUGCUUCGGGAGCGGAUGCUAGUGCUGCUACCGGAGCGGGUGCUAGUGCCGCUGCGGAUGGAGUUGCUUCCGAUUCAGAUGUUACAUUAGAUUAGUUUGGCUUUUGAAUAUUUGUGUUUUGAAUAUUGUGUUUAAGUUGGAUUUGAAAUUUGGUUAAUGCUUGUGAAGGGCUUUUGGUUUGCCCUUGUAGACAAUUAUAUGUUUGAUGUUUGGGAUUGUAGUUAUGGUACAUUUUGUUGUUGUUAUAUAUGGUUGUGGUUUAUGUUAUUUUGGAUAUUGUUGAUAUUGUUGGUUGUUGGUAGCAGGUAUGGCAGUAUAUGGAAACAGCAAGAAUUUUUUUUUUUGAUAGAAAACCCAGAAAACCGACCGACUAUCGACAAAACCGACCACCGUUACCAUUCAAUUCACAGACAAAACCGACCGCUAAACACAUAACCGACCACGGUUACCAUUCAAAAAAGCCAGAAAACCGACCGAUUGCUUCUAACGCGGUCGGUUAUCUUCGGGUGACCGGUCGGUUAUAUACGGUCGGUUUUAAGCCCUGCAAGCGGUCUGCUCGUUAACCGACCAAGUGAAUCGGUCGGUUUUAAGCCCUGCAAGCGGUCUGCUCGUUAACCGACCAAGACAGUCGGUCGGUUAUGGGAAACCGACCGCCGUUGGUCGGUUAUAAGGUCAUUCUUUUUGUUUGACUUUUUUGGUCAAACGUUUAUAACCGACCAUAGGCGGUCGGUUUUGUUGCCCUCCACAAAUUUGAAUUUUUUGGUCAAGAUGCUGUAACCGACCACAGACGGUCGGUUUUUGUGCCCCCGACAAAUUUGACUUUUUUGGUCAACCAAUUAUAACCGACCAAUGCCGGUCGGUUACAUUAUUCUUAGAACGAUUGACCAUAUUUUGGUCAAACAUUUAAACCGACCGACGUCAGUCGGUUAUAACUUUACACGUGGCUAGGGCGUCAACGUGGCUCCAGAUGGCAUUGCAGGGCCCAGGGUAGCGACUUUCUUAAAUAAGCAAAACCGACCGACAUGUCGGUCGGUUUUCGUCUUUAAACCCGACCAAUUCUUCAUAACCGACCAGGUUACAACCGACCAGCAUUUCCGAUCGGUUUUCGUCAUAAAACCGACCGUUUUUGGCUUUAACCGACCGUUUUGGUCGGUCGGUUUUGCCCUGUUUUUUUGUAGUGCUCUAAUAGUUUUUUAAUGUUUUUUAUAUAAUUUUUGGGUUUCGGUUUAUACUGAACCGAACCGAAAACCGGUGAUUCGGAUUUGGUUUUUGAACUUUGAUUUUCAGUUCGAUUCGGUUCAGGUUCGGUUUUGAAAAAUAAUAUUCGGUUCGGGUUCGGUUUUUGUCAAAACUGAUUGCCAUCUCUAAAAACAUUGGAUCAGUUGGCAGGAUAGAGCUGGACAAUUUUUUAUGUUUGUGAAUAAAAAAAAAUAGAACUGAUUAUACUCAUUUACAAUUUGUUUGCGUAGCUAAAAAUAUCGUUACUAGAUUGUUUGGACGCAAAAUAAAUUUUGUGAUUGUUAACCUCUGAAACACAAUGGGCAGAUCAAAGCUUUUACUAUAUCAUGGCCAGCUUGAAUGCUACAACACUAUUUUCUUCCAUUCCCUCUAAACCCUGUUCCUUACCAAACCCAAAAAUCUCUACGUCCAUAUUGCCUUCUCUCCACCUUCAUCUUCUUCUUUUGGAGUGACUGCUUCCUCUGGAGUGACUUCUUUUUAGCUACGCAAACAAAUUGUAAAUGAGUAUAAUCAGUUCUAUUUUUUUUAUUCACAAAAAUAAAAAAUUGUCAUGAUGCUCUACCAGUACAGGAACAGUCAUAUUGUUGAACAAGCUAAUGAUCGCAUAUGGCCAGUUCAAGUAAAUGCACCAGGAGACUUUGGAAACUUCUAUAGUCAUGAUGCUUCCAGGUUUGAUUUUUUCGACAGGUGGGGCAAUCCUUUGCCUUCUAGUCCGAUGGUCUAUUUGGAUAACCCGCAA
Molecule: long non-coding RNA, 75993 nt
Filed under: Daucus carota (carrot)
Lineage: Eukaryota; Viridiplantae; Streptophyta; Magnoliopsida; Apiales; Apiaceae
Description: long non-coding RNA (DCAR_LNC005652)
Source: RNAcentral